Molecule: long non-coding RNA, 61179 nt
Filed under: Vitis vinifera (wine grape)
Lineage: Eukaryota; Viridiplantae; Streptophyta; Magnoliopsida; Vitales; Vitaceae
Description: long non-coding RNA (VVIN_LNC006037)
Source: RNAcentral
AAUGAUAGAGUUCUCCGUUGGAGUUAGGUGGCCCAAAAAGAUUGUGCUGUUUGAAUAGCUGGUCCUCUAAUUUAGGAAGAGGCAACCGAAUUUGCACCGCUGGGUGGCUGGGCCCAUAGAAAAUAUUAUUGUCAGAAGAUUAUGAAAGUAUGUUCCUUAGUCCGCAUGCUUUGAGGCCUCUUUGAGUGGGCUUCUAGGGCUGGUUAGACAAUUGGGCCUUUCAAAGGAUUUCCUAGAGUUACAUUUUUUUUAGCCCAACAUGAAUUUUUAUAAAAUGCUAUAUUUAUACGCGAGUUUCAUAUUGAAGCUAAACAUACCCAUUUUGAUCGGAAAAAAAAAGGAAAGAAAAUGGGGCCUUUUUUCCACCCUUAAUCCUAUCACUAUUUUUAAUUUUAUUUUAUUAGUUAAUGGUAUGUAUUUCACAGAUUCUGAUUGGAGGAGGCACUGACACUACAUCUGGUACUUUAACAUGGGCAAUCUCACUUUUAUUGAACAAUCCACACAUAUUAAGAAAAGCUCAAGAAGAAUUGGAUGCACAUGUUGGUAAAGAAAGAAUAGUAAAUGAAAUGGAUAUAAGCAAGUUGGUCUACCUUCAAGCAAUUGUUAAAGAGACAUUGAGGUUAAAUCCAACAGCCCCACUUUCAGGACCGCGUCAAUUCAUCCAAGAUUCUAUUUUAGGCGGUUACUAUAUCUCAAAAGGCACUCGUCUUAUAUUGAACCUCACCAAGAUCCAAAGAGACCCGAGAGUAUGGUUGAACCCAAUGGAGUUCCAACCAGAUAGAUUCCUCACCACCCACAAAGAUGUUGAUGUUAGAGGUAAACAUUUUGAGUUGACACCAUUUGGUGGUGGAAGAAGAAUUUGCCCUGGAGCAAUUUUUGCCCUUCAAGUGCUACACUUAACAUUAGCCAACUUCCUACAUAGAUUUCAACUUUCAACUCCAUCAGAUGCACCGGUUGAUAUGAGCGAGAGUUUUGGAUUAACAAACAUCAAAUCCACUCCACUUGAAGUUCUUAUCUCCCCACGCUUGGCUUCUUAUGAUCUUUAUGAGUAGAACUUGAGGUCGCUAAGAGACUUAUUUCAAAAAACCUAGUGCUAUGAAAUGUGAAAUAAAAAUAAAUUUCAUACAUGUAGCAUAAGUUUAGUAUUAUUUUAAAGCAGUUACUAAUGUGUGUCCUUUAGUAUUGUCUUAGCUUGAAUUUAAUAAAAAAAUAUUUUCGACAACUAUUUUGUGUGGACAAGUAAUGACCCAAUUUCUUGUUAUGUUUCUUCAUUCUUCCAUGAAAGAGAAUUUAGAAGAAAAAGUGGCAUAUAGCAUUACAAUUGAAAAAUUAAUAAGCAUGUACUCCACCAUAUGCAUAUAUAUGCAUAGUAGACUUAAUGAAUUUCCAAGUUGAUUAAUUGGUAUCUCCUUUUGAUAGAUUUCAGCCACCUUUUUGUACAUGAUUAAAGUAGUAAUGGAGACUAAAAUUACAACUCCCAUUUCAUUGUAAAAAGUUGGGAUGUGCAAGGUGGGUCAGUUCAAUUUUGGGCAUUAAAAUCGAAUCGAAUCGAAUUGAACCCAAAAGAGGAAAAUGAUUAGUUUGACUUGAUUAACAAUAAUCUAAGUUGGUUUAUUUUGCUUCUAUUUAUAACAUCAAUUUUUUUUUUAAUUUGAACGAAAAUAAUAUUAUUGAAGCAAGUCAUCUUUGGACGGUUGAAAUGAUAUUAUUACAACUAAUUUCAAAUCAUAUUAUUAUAACUUAAUGACAUGAAUAGGUAUUAUUGUAACCCAUGUCAAUCAUAUCAAAUAGUCCAAGUCAUAGAUAAAAGUUAUAAAGGUGUGAUUGGGAGUUCCAUCCAAUGUGAAAAAUGUAUACCAAAUUAAUAAUGUAACCAAUUGUUAUACUGUAUAUUAUUAUUGUGUGUGUAUAGCUUUCAAUUCAAUUCAGUUUGGUUCAUUAAUUUUUUUUUAUAGGUAAUUGAAUUGGUAUAACUUAGGUUUAUAUUUUUAAAAAUAAAAUCUUUAAAAAUUAAUAGAUUUGGGUCAAUUCCAUUGAUUUUGUCAAUCGUACACCCUAAAAGAAGGGAUGUCCACUUAUCAUCCAUAACUUUGUGUACUCCUAAGUUAGAAUUUUGCCCCAUGUGAUUCACAUUUGUACUUAUUAUUCUCAAAUUUUCGUACAAAUGAUUUAUUGUUUUGUGGAAUUUUACUCCAUGAGAUUCACAUUUGUACUUAUUAUUAUCAACUUUGUCUGCUCUUAAGUUACAAUUUCUCCUAAUUAGAUUCACAUGCGUUAUUGCCAUAAUUGACUUUCCACAUUUAUGCAUGAAUUAUUAUGUCAAUAGAUGCAUUAUCAUUUUGUCAAGUUAAUUUGACUUAGGUUAAUCACCAAAGACAAGGUGAAUUAAUUGACUCAAUUUUAAUAAAUUUUAAUUUAAAUGAGUGCAAGUAAUAAUAAUAAAACAGUAAAAAAAUACAUAAUUAAAUAAAUAAAAAGAAGAGAUAACUGGUACAAACUCCAAUUUAUAUUUUGCUCAAUCCUAUACUCUCCUCAAGCCCUCAAAUGCAAAUUGAGGGUUCCACUAGCUUUUAAGACUUCAAUCAAACCUUAAUCCUUUACACCUGGAUUCUCAAUUUCAAUGAUCUUUUUACACUUUAAUUCAAGAAAUUCCUCACUCUUGAACAUACUCAAAGGUAACACUUGAACAACAUUGAUCUCACAAAGUUUUAUUUACAGAUAAUAUAAAUGAAAACUUAAAUGGUUUUUUUUGGUUAGGAUUUCUAAAUUAAUAAGGAUUUUUACAUUAAAAAGAAAGAGUUAAGAUCAACUGGGUUUUGUAAGAUUUUGAUAUAUAUCUUAGUUUGCGAGUUUUUUGGGAUUAUAUUGUAAUCUUAUUGUUUUAUCCUAAAAUUGUCAAAAAAAGAAAUUAGUAAUUUAGUAUGGAAAUUUUACUCCAAAGAUUAUUGAUUAAAAAUUAUUUUACUAAUACCAACGUGUAAGAGUUAAAGGCAUAAAAUUGAAAUUAAAGUAAGUUUAUUAUUUUGGAUUUUGUUAAGUAAUGACAAGAUUAAUAAUUGAAAUUAAUGUAAAAAGAAGUGUAAAAACUUUAAAACUUUAAAAUAUCAUUUCAUUAUUAGUUUCCACUUGCCAACAUAGACUUCUCAUUCUAUUCUAACAAGUUUUUUGUACUUUUAUAUAUAUAUAUUUCAUAAACUUAACAAAGGAUACAAACAGCAAAAGAAAAAAAAAAUUGAGCUACUAAACCUCAAUAUAAAUUUGGGGUGAAUUGUCAAGGUCUAUUAAGGAGCAUGGGGAAGUACUGUAUCACAGAUCAAUGUGAAGAUGUAUAUAUAUUUAUAGUAUAGAACCUAAGAGAACGUUUCUUUCUAAGUUAGGUAAACAUUUCUGUCAAAGUUGAUGAAAUUUUACUAUAAUUUAUAUACACAUGCUUUCAGUGUGCAUAUAAAUUAUACGUGGAGAUGAUUUUUAACUUAUAUCUUGCUUUUUAUAUGUGAUUUAAUAUUGUUUUGGAUUAUUGAUUAUGACUUAUGAAUUAUCAUGCAUGGAACUAAUCAAAAUGAUAUAAUUAAAUUAUAUUAAUGAAUUUGAGAUAGACAUGGCAAUUAUUAAUUUAAAAUAUCUUAUAUGAACAUAAAAUUUUAAAUAUAGACUCAUAAUUUAUAUUAAAAUAAUAAAAUUAAAAAAGUACGUUUAUCUCAGAUUUAUGCCUAGGGCCCAAAUUUUGCUGAGAGACGGCCGGAUGUCAUCACAUGCAAGAAAGCUAGGAAACAAAGCUAAAGUUUGCUUCUUGUGUGGGAAGAGGUACUUCCGUGCUUGACUGAAAGAAAGGAUUUUCUACAAGAAAAAUUGUCCCCUUGUUUGUAAAGCCUCAAGUUGCGACAGCAAUAACGACAAAAGUAGGCCAAAGAAUUUGUCAUUAUUAUGAGACUAGAGAGGUUUUACUGAGAAGUUUUCCGAGCGUGAUAUCAGCAUUCGCUGUAUCACAGUGAUACAACAAAUGGUUUGAACACAGUGAUCUAGAACCCAUUAGCUCAAAUUUCAUUGAUCUGAACACGAUGAUCCUCAUCCGCAGACCAUUUUAGGGAAUAAUUAAUUCUAGCGAUUUUUUAACUGCAUGUACGAAGAACUUCAUCAAAAUUCGAUUAAGUGUAUCUUAACCAAUCUUGAUCAGUAUGCGACUGAUGAUUCUAUUUGAUAAAAGUAAUGCGGUGGCCCAACUUUAUCUUAAUUUCUAUGUUGAAAGUAAUCAUUAUAUUAUUCUAUAAUUAUAAAUGUAGACUAUGGAAUCAAGAUAACUUUGAUAUGCUGAGAUCAAAAGAGGGCGGCCACUUUAGUAGUGGACUAUAUAUACUAAAUAAAGCUGAUCGAUUAUUACAUUGGAAAAUAACAUUGAACCUAUCAUGAAAGACAACCCUACUGGACCAUGCCCCGAGUACUAAAUGCUGAUAAAAAACAAGUACAUGUUCCAAAGGAAUUGAGUCCAUAUAUACACAUUAGUGCUCAAAGAGAAAAACUAUAUAUCCACCGCUUAACUACAGUGAUCCUUUGAGCAGAAGUUAGCCAUGUAUUUCCUUUUCCAAUACCUAAACAUCACCACGGUCGGAGUCUUUGCCACACUUUUCCUUUCCUACUGUCUAUUAUUAUGGAGGUCUAGAGCUGGUAACAAAAAAAUAGCACCUGAAGCUACUGCUGCAUUGUCACGACCCAAAUUCCGGGUGACCCAUAAUUUGGCCCGUGACCCCAGGUCAAAGGUUUGACCCUAAGGGUUACUCCUAUUCCACGUUGGCAGUCAACUAAAACACUCUGAAAUUUUUUUUUUUCUCACAUAUAAGUCUCACUAGGUUCUCACCAACUAACAAUAUUUCAACCCUUACUCAAACACAUUAAGAUUUAAUAAAUAUCAUUGCAUUCCAAAAUAAAAUUUCAUAAAAAUCCCCUUAAUCGAAUUAAGGUCUUAUUACAUUAUCCAUAAUUCACUUAUUACAAGAUCUCAAUACCACAAACAUAAUAAAAAAAUAAAACACAUUCCACUAAACCGCUCCAAGGGCAUCCUGAAGUCCUCCCUGUCCCACCUGUGGAUCCUCAGGAGUGAUAUCUGCAUCUAAAAAUAUAUAUAUAAAAAAAAAGGGUGAGCAUUUCCACAUUGCUCAGUAGGGUGCCUAACACCCAAAGGGUUAAUGGGGGAUUACUAUAUUUCAAUAACCCAAACACAACAGUUUACCAAUAUAAAUCAAGUCACACAAUUUAACAUAUAAUAUUAUACUCAAUCCCACAACAUCCAAUCAUUACAUAUUAAAUUACCACCUACAUCUAUAAGUUCUUCAUCUUUUUAUAAAGGAGCUAUAGAAAUGUUAAAAAGUCGAAAGAAGACAACAAAUAGUUCUCCAAACAACACAACUGAUUUAGAUAGAUAUCUUAAUAUUGAUUUAAUUUCAUUUGAAGAUGAUGAAGAUUUUGAUAUUUUAAUAUGGUGGAAAUCACAACAACACAAAUAUCUUGUGCUUUCUAUCAUUGCUCGUGAUGUACUAACAGUUCCUGUGAGUACAGUUGCAUCAGAAGUUGCUUUUAGUGCAGGUGGAAGAGUAGUUAGUGAUAAACGAUGCAGCUUAGCGCCGGAUUCUAUUGAAGCAAAUAUAUGUCUGAAAGACUGGGCAAUAGCAGAUAAAAGGAUAUUUGAUUCUAUUCAAGAAGAAAAUAUGCUUGUCGAUAUGGAAAAACUAAAAUCAUCAGAUCUUCAUGGAUUUGCGAUAGUUAGCCAUCACCGCUAAGAGAUAAUGAUUAAAAUAUUUUACUAAAUGUAUGUCAUAUUUUUAUUUUUAUUUUUGUGGUUGAAAAGUACAAAUGAUUGACAAAUAAGUAGGUGCCAACCUAGUUGAGAUGUAUUUAUUUUGUAGUGAUGUAAACUUUUUCCACAUUUUCAAAUGUAAUGUAUAUAUUCAAUGAAUAAAAUAGUUAGCAAUGAAUAUUUUUAUUAAUGUAGCAUUUUCUAUUUUUUGAAUAUAUUUUUAUAUAUAUAUAUAUAUAUUUUUAAGUGGCGGGCCUACGGGUGGGCCCACGGCCGGGCCGGGCUUAAAUUGGGGCCCAUCCAAAAAUGGGCUCGGGUCGGGCUUUAGCCUACUGGGCCGGGCCGCGAGCUUUUUGGAGACCCUUAAUUUUUAUAAAUUACAGAAAAGAAAGAAAGAAAAAAAAAAAGAGAAAUCUACAUAUAGCUGCAUUUGUGUUUGUCAUGGAAAAUGAAAAAUAUUGCUAGAGUUUAUAAUGUAAAACAAAAUGCAAAUGUGAAACGCAAAGCAUAUAAGCUAUUUUAGGGUAAAAUCCAUGAAUGACCAAAUGGCCCAAAAAAAAGAUCAAAUUGGAAAUACGAUCGGUCAACGGUUGAAUCGAUUGGUGCAAUCCAAUUUUCAAAACCAUGAAAAUUUUAAUAUAUGACUUAAGCAUGUAAGUUUGAUAUAACAACGAGUAAAAAAUAAAUUAUAGAAUCCCUUUAGAUGAAAAAAGAUUUUAAUAAUUAUAAAUUUUUAUGAGAUGGAUAUGAUUUAUUAAGAUAAUUUUAAAAAAUAAUAAAUAAAAUUUAAUAUUAAAUUUUAUUUAUAAGAAUAAAAUAUCUUAAGAUAAUUAUGAGGGUAGGUAGAGGAUGCUAUUUUUAUGAGAAGCAUAAUAUGAUGCGUUUUGCAUUAAAAAGUCAAAUUCAUCCACACAUGUCCAUGUCUAUGAAACACAUUACACCGAACAUUAUUUUCAAAUUCGGACAUUAUUUUCAAACCCAACCUACGUAAGGCAUGUUUUUUUUUUUUUUUUUCUUUUUAAUUAUUAAAUUAGUUGUAUUUUGGUUCAAAACUCACGUGGGAAGAAGACUAGAGGGGGAACAUUUUUGUUGCGAAGCUAUACGGAAUAAAAUUUAUUCAGAAGCCGGUCAAAACUCAAAUUUAUCUGCGGAACUUUUGUACUUAUCUUUUGACAAUUGGAAUGCUUCCCUACAAAUUAACUAAAUUAAUAGUCUCCUUGUUUUAUCAGAAGCGAAGGAAAAAGUAGGACUCAUGCAUCGUACAACACAAAUAGGCAGAUCUUUAGUCAUAGAUGGUGCAUGCCGUAAAGUAGCCGUCUUGAGCUUGGUAAGAAACCAAGCUAUUAAAACUUGACUUGAACUGUUCAUUCUCAAGGGGGUAAGUGCCAGCCAGGGUUCAAAUUUUAUGAUGCGGGCAUGCAAGACUUAUACCAAUCUGCCGUUCUAAUAAUAGAAUGUAGAAGACACCAAGCACCUCCUGCAUGCAUCUUGAGGCGGUGUAGACACGCAUCCCAAGGCGAAGUUGUUCUCUACGACCUAAGGAUCAAUUUAGUAAUUGUUUUAAAAAAUAGUUUUUUGAGGUCAAUUUUUGAAAAUUAUUUUUAAAAUUUUUAAAAUAAAAAUAUGUUAGAAAACCUAAAAUAUAACAUGUUUUUAAAUUUUUUAAAUAUAUUUUAAAAAUAAUUUUUAUAUAUUUUUAAUUCUUAUAUUUAUAUAAUUAUUUUUUAAAACAACGGUUAGAAAACAAGUAAAAACAAAUAAAUUUUUUUUAAAAAAAAACAUUCUAUUUUAUGUUAUUAAUAACUUUUAAUUAUCAAAAGUUUUAUUUUAUAUUUUUUGUUUUAAAGAACAAAAAGCCUGCUCAAAAAAACAGUUGCCAUAACUUUUUUCUGAUCUGUAGUGAUCCUAGGAAGGCUGUUUUCUAAAUAUAGUAAUAUAAUAAAAAAAUGUGGUCAUAGUAAGAAAAUACCGUUUGGACAUGUCCAUGGUAUUAUGCAUAUGCUUGAACAGGGAAGCUACCCACAGUUUAACCACAGUAAUCCAAUAGCAACAUCUAAGCUACCAUGGAUUUCCUUCUCCAAUGCCUAAACCCUGCCAUGGUUGGAGCAUUUGCAAUACUUGUCCUCUCCUACUACCUGUUAUUAUGGCGGUCUGGAGCUGGUAAGGGCAGAAUGGCACCUGAAGCUGCUGGUGCAUGGCCCAUAAUAGGUCACCUACACCUCCUAGGUGGGUCUAAGAAUUUGCCCCACUUACUUUUGGGAACCAUGGCCGACAAGUAUGGAGCAGUAUUCAGCGUUCGGCUGGGAUUGGAAAGAGCUGUGGUGGUGAGUAGUUGGCAGAUGGCCAAGGAAUGCUUCACCACCCAUGACCUGGCUCUGGCCUCCCGUCCUCAACUUGUAAUCUCCAAACAAUUGGGAUAUAACGAUGCCAUGUUUGCUUUCUCUCCUCACGGUGCAUACUGGCGGGAAGUGCGAAAGAUAGCCACUCUAGAGCUCCUCUCGAACCGCCGGCUAGAGUUGCUGAAGAACGUCCGAAUCUCAGAGGUGGAGACAUGCAUGAAGGAACUAUACAAGCUUUGGGCUGAGAAGAAAAACGAGGCAGGCGUUGUUUUGGUGGACAUGAAGCAAUGGUUUGGGGACUUGACUCUGAACGUGAUUCUUAUGAUGGUUGCUGGAAAACGAUAUUUCGGUUAUACAGCCGAAAGUCAAGAGAAAGAGACCCAGCGGUGCCAGAAAUCGAUUAGGGAAUUCUUUCGUUUGUUGGGUCUCUUUGUGGUGUCGGAUGCCCUUCCUUUUCUUGGCUGGCUUGACGUGGGUGGACAUCUGAAAGCCACGAAGAAGACUGCAAAAGAAAUGGAUGGUAUUGCUCAGGAAUGGUUAGAGGAACACCGACAGCGAAAAGAUUCGGGUGAAGCUAAUGGUAACCAGGACUUAAUGGACGUGAUGCUGUCCAUUCUGGCUGGCACGGACCCUACCGGCUAUGAUGCCGAUACAAUCAACAAAGCCACAUCCCUGGUAUGCACAUUAUUCCUCGAGCACCUUUAUAUGCUACUAAAAAAAAUGACAUUCUUCUCAAGACAUAAUUUCAUGCUUUAUCCUCUUUAGUCGGGACUCUCAGACUCUCGAGAGUACUCACACCUUCAAUGGAAUAACUUUCUGUUGCUGGUUGAAGCUAGUCAAAGUCAAUACUUUUUAAAAGAUAAUAUUAGAUUUAUAAAAGUUUUAUCAAUUAUGAAAGAAUUUUUUGCAUCAGCGCAAAUAGAAUUUUUUUACUUAAAAAUAAAACGUUUUUGAUUUCAUAUUGUGUUUUAUUAUACGUUGUUAUUUGUCAAAAGAGUAACAUGAGAAGCUUCGACAAGCAAUUAUAAUGAAAUACAACCCACCUGAGAAUCUGAGCGUAACUAGAAUUAUGACGAACCUCUGGCUUGGGUGUUUGGGCUGGGCUGGUAAUGAUCCAACUCUCCUCUGGGUGGCUGGCCCAUUCUUGUCAGAAGAUCAUGAAAGUGUGUUCAUUAUUCCUCAUGCUUUGAGGCCUCAUUGACUGGGCUUCUUGAUCUUGAGUUGGUUAGACAAUUACGCCUUUCAAAGACUCCUCGUCAUAAUAAAUACAGGGGCUUUCCCUCGUAAAUUUAAGGAUUUUUAUAUUUUAUAUUUUAUUUUAAUUUUGAAGGCCAACAUGAACUUUUAUAAAAUGCUAAAUUUAUGAGCGAGUUUCAAAUUCAAGCUACUUUUGAUCGACGGACACUAAACUCUAACUCUAGAAGCAGACUCCUAUUGGUUUCUAAGGGGCACUCACUCUUGAAAAUAAAUAAAUAAAUAAAUUGAAGCCUUUUCCUCCUUAAUCCUGUUAGUAGUUAUAAUUUUAUUAACAUUAGUUAAUGUUUUGUACUUGACAGAUUUUGAUUGCAGGAGGCAGUGACACUACAUCUGUUACUCUAACAUGGGCGAUCUCACUUUUAUUGAAUAAUCCAUGUAUGUUAAGAAAAGCCCAAGAAGAAUUGGACACUCAUGUUGGUAAAGGGAGAUUGGUAAAUGAAGUGGAUUUAAGCAAGUUGGUCUACCUCCAAGCAAUUGUUAAAGAGACAUUGAGGUUAUAUCCCGCAUUUCCACUUUCAGGACCACGCCAAUUUAACCAAGAUUCCAUUUUAGGUGGUUACCGUAUCCCAAAAGGCACUCGUCUUGUGUUGAACCUCACUAAGAUCCAAAGAGACCCAAGUAUAUGGUUGAACCCAACAGAGUUUCAACCAGAAAGAUUCCUCACUACUCACAAAGACAUUGAUAUGAGGGUCAAAAAUUUUGAGUUUACACCAUUUGGUGGUGGAAGAAGAAUUUGCCCUGGUGCAACUUUUGCCCUUCAAGUGCUACACUUAACAUUAGCCAAUUUCUUGCACAAAUUUCAACUUUCGACUCCAUCAGAUGCAACAGUUGAUAUGAGCGAGAGCCUUGGGAUAACAAACAUCAAAUCCACUCCACUUGAAGUUCUCAUCUCGCCACGUUUGUCUUCUUGUGAUCUUUAUGAGUAAAACCAAUGAAUGUUGAGAGAGACUAUUUCAAGAAACCUAGUAUUAUAUAUAGGAAAUAAAAAUACAAAUAAAAUUUGUACAUGUGGUACAAGUUUAAAAUAAUAACUAAUGAGUACUAUACUUUUUUAAUUUUAUCUUAGCUUGAAUUUUGGUGUUUUUUUUUUCUCCUUGUAGAAGAAAAAGUGGCAUAUAGCAUUUUUCUUUCGGUAUAGAUAGUGAAAAAUAAGUAUGCACUUGACCAUAUGCAUACGUGUGCAAUAGACUUAAUGAGUUGCAAGUUGAUAAUUGAUCUGUCUUUUGGUAGAUUUUAGUUGCCUUCUUGUACAUCAUUAAAGUAGAAGAUAAAGACGAAAAUUAUAACUUCACCCAUUCAAUUAAAAAUCAAUUUAAUUGAAUUUAAAGAAGAAAAUGGUUGGUUCGGUUUGACUAACAAUAAUUGAUUCGUCGGUUUAUUUUGUUUCAAUUUGUUUUGGUUUGUUGUAACAAUAAAAAUCAUUUUUUUUGGUUAAUUUGGACUAAAAAAAAAAAACCAUGAUUAGAUAAAAACUAUAAAUGUGCAUAUGAAGUUGUAUCGAAUGUGAAAGCUUUUCAUCAAAUUAAUAAUAUAACCAAUACUCAUAUUAUUGAUGUAAAUAUAGAACUUCUAGAUAAGUUCAAUUUGUUUUACUAUUGAUUUUUUAAAUAGGUAACCGAAUUGGUCUAAUUCAAUUUUAUAUUUUAAAACCCAAUAUUAUUAAAAGAAAAAUUGCUAAAAAUUAGUGGAUUAGGGUUAGUUCAUUGAUUCUGUCUACACCCCAAAAAGAAGAGUGUCCACUUCGUAUUGUCAACUUUGUGUGCUUAUAAGUUACAAUUUUGCACCAUGAGAUUCACAUUUGUACUUAUUAUUGCUAAUUUUGUGUGGUCAUAAGUUAUAAUUUUACCCCACUAGAUUCACAUUUGCUAGCAUCAUAAUUGACUUUCUACAUCCAUGCAUUCAUGAAUCAUUACAUUUCAAUACUGUAUUACCAUUUUGGUGCUAAACAAGAAGACUCGUCUUUAAAGUACUCAAGCAAACCCUCACCAAUUUUAAUCAUUUUUCAAUUUAGAUGAAUGGGAGCAACAACACUAGAACAAUGAAGUAGAUGAUGAAAUAAAAUAAAAAACAAAGAUAGUAUACAAACUCUAAUUUUAUUGGUUUGUCAUAGUCUUGACUUAUAUGCACUCUCCUCAAACUUUAAAAUUCUGCUAACUUCUAAUCCUUCAAGCCAAUCUUAAACUCUUACAUUUUGAUUCUUGAUUCCAAAAGACCUUCUUACACUUGCCUCAAUAGAUUCUUUACUUUUGAAUACACUAGUCACAAGUUGUUAACAAUUGAACAAAAUUAAUCUUUCUAAAUCUUAAUUAGUACAAGUUUAAACUUGAGAAAAUACAAGAGGAAAUUAGGAUGUUUUGUCUUAGAUAAGAUUUAUAAGUUAAUCAAGAAUUUUACAUUGAGAACAAAGAGUUAAGAUCAAUUCAGUUAAGUGAGAUUGUAGGAUCUAAUUAGUUUGAGAUCUUAAGCGGUCCUGUUAUAAUCUUAUUAUUUUAUUCCAAAAUUGCCUAAGAGGGAAGUAGUAAUUUAGGACAACAAUUCCCUCCCAAAGUUUAUUGGUUUGAAACUAAUACUUUAUUAUACCAGCAUGUUUGAGUUGAAAACACAAAAAUUGAAGCUAAGGCAAGUACUUUACAAUUCGGAUUGGGUUGCAUCGAGCUUUGGUGGUAACUACUUGGGAGAUGGCUAAAGAAUGCUUGACCGCCAAUGACCAGGUUUCAUCCUCGCGUCCCGAACUUUUAGCCGCAAAACAUUUGGGCUACAACUACGCCAUGUUUGGUUUCUCUCCAUACGGUUCUUACUGGCGUGAAGUGCGCAAGAUAAUCAGCCUAGAGUUACUCUCUAACCGCUGCCUAGAGCUGCUGAAGGACGUCUGUGCUUCAGAAGUGGUGACAUCCAUAAAAGAGCUAUACAAGCUCUAGGCAGAGAAAAAAAAUGAAUCGGGCCUUGUCUCGGUGGAAAUGAAGUAGUGGUUUGGAGAUUUGACUCUGAACGUAAUUCUUAGGAUGGUGGCAGGGAAGCGUUAUUUCAGUGCUUCAGAUGCAAGUGAAAAUAAACAGGCGCAGAGGUGCUGGAGAGUGUUCAGGGAAUUUUUUCAUUUGGUAGGGCUCUUUGCGGUGGCGGACGCUAUUCCUUUUCUUGGAUGGCUCAACUGGGGGAGACAUGAGAAUACCCUAAAGAAGACAACAAUAGAAAUGGACAAUAUUGCUCAAGAAUGGUUAGAGGAGCACCGUUGGAAAUCAUGAUAAUAGUACGCAAGACUUCAUGGAUGUGAUGCUGUUAGUUCUUGAUGGCAAAAAUCUUGGUGAGUACGAAAGCCACAUGCUUGUGUGGACCCGCAUUUUUCACGUGCACCUCCACUCAAUCGGCGAGACUCGUUUUUUUUUGGUGAAGAUGUUGUUUUUGGAAAAGUCGGAGUCGCCACUUAUUUUAUUUUAUUUUAAAGGGAAAAUAAAACAAGAAAUAAAACCCUAAAAAAUGACUCCAUAGUUUUUUGGAAAAGCAUGUCUUUGAAAAACCCGAGUCUAGGUCCGGGGAUCAGGUUACUUAUUGGGAAGGUACCUCCAGGAGAUAGCACCUCUCUAAGCCCUACAAAGGUCCCUACUGACUAUGUUGAAGGAAAUGUGGCAAUCAACUGAUUAAUUGAGGGUACCUAGGUAGGCUAAGGUGAUCUCAAAACUAGCAUGCUAAACAAGAAAAACCAAUCACGCCCAUAAAGGAAAGUUAGGAUGCGUACCUGGACCACUUCUUAAGCGCUAUCAUAAAACAUCAAUGGUUAGUUUAGAUAAUAUAUCACUCAGUAUGUGUUUUAUCAUGAAUGAUCAAACAAUGUAGCAAAUAUCAAGACAUCCCAAGCAUUCUCAAACAUAGGUAUAAAUCAUAAUGACGAUCAUAUUUACAAAAUUUGGAAGGUAGGUGACAGGAGACGUACCUGGAUAGCAUAGAUAACUUGUAACGUGCUUUCACAAGACAUGAGAGGUUAGAUAACAAACAAUAAAAUAAGAAGUCCUAGCAUGUUUGUUAUCUAAUUAGCAUAGAAAAAAAAAAUUAUCAUAGUAUAUGAAACCAUCAAUUAUCACUUAUAUCUUCUGUAUAAUUUCUAAAAAAUAAAUAGACAUGAUUUCCUUAAAUAGCAAAGGGGGCAACAAAGAUGAGUUUUGAAAAUUUUCCUUAUGUAGGGGCUUCACCAAUUCCCCGAUUGAUAUACACAAAUCUAGUUUAGAAUUAUCCCAUUUGUUUGGGACCACAAGCUUGGAUUCAUGUCUUACUCAAAACUGUAAUUUUAUUUGAAAUUUAAGAAAGAUGCAAACAGAUCAAAACAUGGUUGCACAUUAUUUGAGAAAAUGAGAUUUCGAUUCUAAGAACUCUAAAUGAAUUUUUGAAAUGGAUUCCUAAAGGGAAUGAGAUUUUGAUUCUAAGAACUUUAAAUGAAUUUUUGAAAUGGAUUUUUAAAGGGAUUUUUUUUAGAAUAGUGUUAUGUUUUAAAAAUAAAAGAAAUUAAUUUCAAAACAAUAAAACGUAUGAAUCAAAUACCAAGCAAAACAAAAGAGAACAAAAUCACAAAGUAGAAUUUUUGACAACCAAGAAAAUUGAAGUGGUGAGAAUGGAAGCCAAUCUUCACUAUUUUUCGAUGGUCUCCAAAAAGUAAAUUUUACUAGAGACUACCAAAGCAAUAAACUAUUCAAACUUGGAUCAAAUAAGCUAACGAAAUACCCACCAAGAAUUAAUGACGAAAAUUCAAGAAACACAUCUACUAAGAAUAACAAUCAAGAAUUAGCAUGAGAUCAAUUAAACACACAAACGCAUCUAGAUUAACUAAAAUGAACCAAAUUAAAUCAAAGCAAACAAUAAUUUUCAAACAUAGAAUUAACUUUAUUAAUGAACUAAUAUUAUAUAAAAUACCUAAAUCGAAUAGAUGUGCAAAACUAAAUCAAAGUAAACUAAAGGCAUGAAUUCUCAAAAAUAGAAUUGAUUUUAUUAAUGACCUAAAAUUAUACAAACUCCUAAAAUAAUUAAAAUGAAUCAAUUUAAACGAAAGGAAACUAAAACAAAAUAUGAAUUCAGGGAAUCUAAUUUCGAAAUAAACUUACAUUAUUAAAAUGAAAUCUAGGCUUAAAAACUAUUAAACACUAAUUAAAGCCAAUCUAAACUUAAAUUCUUAACACACAUGAUCAAUUAUUUUAACAAACUAACAUUUUACCUUAACCACAAAUUAAAUUAAAAAACUACUUGAGACUAAAUUUCUAACCUAUAAAAUUAAACUCAUAAUCAAAUGGAUAAGUUGAUGACACAGACAAAUAAAUAUGAAUAAAAUAAAAUAUGAAUGAAAUGAAAUACGAACACAAGGAAUUAAAUAAUUUUUUCUUUUUUUUAAUAAACUUAUGUUAGUAAAAUAAAUUUGAGCUUAACAAACAUUUUUAUCACUAAUUAAGGCAAGUUUAAAAUAUAAUACUUAACACAUAAAAAAUCAAUCAUUUCAACAAACUAUAAUUUUAACUAAACUUAAAGUCAAUUCAAACAACCUUCAAUAGAUUUUUUUAUUUUUAUUUUAAACUGAAUUUUUAACCCAUAGAUUCAAUCUCAUUGAUAAAUAAAUAAAUAAAUAAGUUACAAAGCAUUAGCUUAGUAGCAAAUAAAUAAAUAAACAACUAAUAAUUAAAUGAAUCACAACUAAACUAAAUAAAGAUCAAACUAUAUUAUUUUUUUUAUUUUUCAAAAGUAGAAUUACAUGAAUUUGUAUUUUUUGAAUUUAAUAUAAUAUACCAAACUAAACUUAAACACAAUUCUCAUUCUGCCAUAUUAAAACAAAAAAUGCAUGGAGUUAGUAAAUAAAGUCAAAUGACACAAUAUAAUAAUAAUUCCACUAAAAAACCAAUCAAACUAAUUAAAAUUCUAAAAAAUAUCAACUAAAACAAGAUCAAUCAAAAUUAGCGUGUAUAUAUAUAUAUAUAUAUAUAUAUAUAUAUAUAUAUAUAUAUAUAUAUAUAUAUAUAUCUUUAUUUUUAGUUAUUUAUUUAUUAAAACACGAAUACAUCAACACGAAACGAAAUAAACUAACCAACUUACAUUCUAAAACUAAAAGGAUAAAUCAUGAAUUAAAAUUAACAACCUUUGGAUAUGAAAAGAGUGGCAUGGAAUCAAUUGAAAUAAUAAACUAAAAUUUAAUAACAUCUAAACUAAAAGAUAAAUUAAAACUAAAUUAAAUGAAAUUAUGAACUUCCUAAUUGAGAAAAAAAAUAAUAAUAGUAAUAAAUCUAAUCAAAAUUCUAAAUUUUAAACCAUCAUCAUGAAUUGCCCAAACUCUUAAAAAAUCCUAACCUUUCCAUUAUCAACAAAAAUUGCCUAAACCAAUAUUUAAAAAAUCUAAUUUGUCAAACUAAGAAUAAUAAAUUGUAACUACAUUAAACAAAAAUCAUAAUCUUCAAGCUAGAAUAAUGAAUCAAUAAUAAUUAAUUUAUUUAGAUAAGAAAAAUUAAAAAAAUAAAUUAAAGAUUAACAUCUAAGCUAAACAUGAAUUUACAAUAAAAAUUUAAAAUACAAAGAUUGAAUGGGAAUAAUUUUAAAACUAAUAAAUUGUCAUCAGGAAAUAUAUUGAUAUUAGAAAUAAUUAAACUAUAUAGAUAAAACUCUAAAACGAUUAUGCAUUGAAUUGAAUAUUUCUUGAAUCAAAAUUGAAAUAGGAAGGAUAAAUUCACAUUUUCCGAAACGUGUAGGUCACUUUCCACUAGUAGGAUUUCUAUUUUUUAUUUUAUUUUAAAAGAAUCAUUGCCAAGGAUGCAUGGUGUGGUGGCUGCCCAUGCACUGUAGCUGAAGACUUCUUCUUGGUGGUCUUUGAAACCUAGGAGCAUGGCUGAAUGUUUCCUUUCUUCCAAUAGUGCAACUGCUCCGGAAGUCCUCUCAACGGUGCGGCUGAUUCAGAAAUCGUCAUCUCAAUGGUGCGGCUGUUUCGGAAAUCUUCCUCUCAAUGGUGCGGCUACACCCUCUCACAUUCCAGAAAAUAAUCUUACUCCUCCCACCUGGAUCCCCUUUAGUGCGGCUGUUGAUCUCCUUCCCGUUUGGUGUCACCCUCUCUUCUGAUGCAUGCUGAAAGCGUCCCAAGAAUGGUGCAGCUGGUCGUUCUUGCUUCUCCAAAGGCGUCAGACCCUCUUAUGCGUGCUGAAAGCGUCCUAAGUAUGGUGCGGCUGGUCGUUCACCCCUCUCCAAAAAAAACUCUCCCCCCUCUCACUUUCUAACCUUCCUCUCCAGUACUCUGCCAACAUGGGAAGACAACUCACCAGCCCGGAGAGCCUCAAUCAUCCACGUCAGUCUAGCAUCAUCAGGACUCUCCUUCCUGAACAUAGUCUUCAUUCCGUCCAAAUACCCAUUGAACAUUUCCUUUUUCCAUGCCAAAAGAACUUUGGUAAUUUUCUUUCUUCAUUCAUUUCCUUCCAUUAGAAGCACAAUCAACACAUGCAUGGGUGCAUACUUGCUUUCCUUCUUAGUUCAUUUUCUUCCAUACGUCCUGUCCUCUUCCAACCACCUUGAAUCCAUCCUUUAACCCGCUGAAUAUUUCCUUUCCAUAAUCACACAUGAAAAUUCCUCUUUUUAAUUUUUUUUUUUGACUGAAUAUCCUCUAUUUCCUGAAAGACUCACACAUGAAUAUCCUUGCCAAUACACGUUUUCAACCUUCCUUUUUCUCUCCAGUGAUGAUUCCUUUGGUGAGUUUCUCUACAAAAAUAUAAAGAAAAUUAGACUUAAUGAAUGAAUCCCAAGGUGUUUUAGAAAAUUAUAAAAUAAAUUAACAAAAUAAUUAAGUAAAUAAUGAUAAUAAUAAUAAUAAUAAUAAUAAUAAUAAUAGUAAAGUGUCAUGCAAUCUAUGCAACCAUGCAAUCAUGUGAGCAACUCAAGUCAUGCAAAGAAUGUCUAAUGGGCCUCGGGUGUAUCUAAUGGACCUAAAGGGUCUAAGUGGACCAAUGAUGGUGCCUAAUGGGCCUAAGUGGGCCUAGGGUGGUGCCUAAUGGACCUAAAGGGUCUAAGUGGGCUUAGGGUGGUGCCCAAGUGUAUCUAAGUGAACCUAAAGUGCUUAAGUGGAUCUAAGUGAACCUAAAGUGUUUAAGUGGAUCUAAGUGAACCUAAAGUGCCUAAAUGGGCCUAAGUCUAAAUUAGGGCUACUAAGAGUCACAAUAGGGUUAAAUGAAUCCCUCUACCAAAGUCUCCGAGGUGGCUCAAAAAAGGUAAGUAGUAUGAGUAGCUAUGGGCCACUAAGGAACUACUGUGGAGCACUGGAAGUGAACUUAAAGACAUGUGCUAAAGGAACAAAAUUGAGGGUCUACAACCUGGUAUGAGUAUUAAUGGAACACCCACGUAACAUUGAUAAAGACAAAUUGCAAGGAUAAGGCAAUGAUCGAACAAAUAACCUAUGAUUAAACAAGAUCAUUCAAAAUCAAUUUUGUAUAUUUUUGUAACCGUUAUUUGAUGUGUUGACUUGAACAAUUCUGUAACUGUUGUAUAGUUGUAGGCAAAUUGAUGUACAUUGCCGCAAAUAGUUUUUCUUAGCUAUGCAUAUAAGUAAACUCUUAUUACAUCAAUAAAAGUGUGAAAAUUUUCAUUGAAAACAACAAUGUUAUUUCUUCUAUACUAUUUAUAUUUGCAUAGGGCUAGCUUCUUUUCCAUAGUUUUUCUUUUGUUUAUAUGUUUUAAUUGAUGCAUAUUCACUUUCUUAUUCUCUUAAUUAAAUUGCAAUAAUUAAAACUCUAAUUUAAAUAAAUUUUAAAAUUUAUUUUUAACUAAAAACAACAAUAUACAUAUACAAAUAUAUACUGCUUAAGUAAUUAAUUUUUUUAAAAAAUAUCCUUUGAGAACAUCUCAGACAAACUAAGACAUGCUUCUAGGGAAAUCUAAAUAUAAUGUUUUUAAAAGCUACCUUGUAAUUUUAUUUUCGAGCAUGUUGCAUUAUAUAUACUUUCCUUGAAUUGAUUUUCCAAAUUUUAUUUUUGUCAACAAUAAGGGUUAUCUACGUUUUGGAAGAUAUCUUUAAUUUCCCCUCCAAAGAAUAAGUGAUCUUGAAACUUAUAAGUUAAUUAUGUUCACUUGAUCGAAUAAGAGAUUUGAACAAUCUUGUAAAAAGAUGUUAAGCAGAUGGUUGAUUUCGAAAUUAUCCUUUAAACUAUAAAGGGAAAUAGAAAAAAAUACUAUUAUUUUGGUACAAGACCAUAUUGUUUAGUAGUGUCUCUAGGGAGUUCCAUUAGAUGCUAUCAAACAAUUAAUUUGGUGUCUCACUAACGUAAUUUUGAGUUGUUGAAUUUUGGGUUUUGCAAACUCUAAUUGCUGGAGGUAGUGACACAACUGUUGUCUCUCUAACCUGGGUAUUCUCUCUUUUACUCAACAACCGCGACACCUAAAAAAAAGCUAAAAAAAAAAAAUAUUCAAGUUGGCAAGGAAAGAUUAGUGAAUGAACAAGAUAUAAGUAAGUUGGUCUAUCUUCAAGCCAUUCUUAAAGAAAUUGAGAAAAUAAAGGCUAAUCUUAAAAGAUAAAAACACCCAAGAGGGGGGUGAAUUGAGUUUUUAAAAAUUAUUUUUAAACACAACAAAUUUAAGCAUAAGAGAAUCAAAUAUAAAAAGAUAAGGUUAGAGAAAUCAAACUCAGAUUUUAUAAUGGUUCAACACUUCCUUACCUACAUCCACUCUCCUCAAGCUCUUAACCGAGUGAGGGUUCCACUAACAUGAAGUUUCAACCAAACUUCUAAUUACAUUUACACUUAGAUUCCGGCUCCAAUGGGCUCUUACACAAUCUCUUCAAGUUUCAACUCACUUAAAGACUUUAACACUAAGUUAACAAGUAUGAAUCUCUCAACUUAGCUCAACAAUGACUCAAAUACAACCCAAAGCUAGGAUGAAUCACAAAGGUGCACUAAAGGAUAUGUAAAUGGAGAUUUAAUGCACCAAGAAAAGAAAUGAGAGCUUUUAAGGCAAGAACAAAUAGGUAAGCAAAUAAAUGCAUGUGUUCUCUUACUCAUAAAUGAAGUGGAACUCUUUAUUUAUAGGUUUUUAACAUUAUAAGCCAAAAAACCAAAAAAACAGUCUCAAUCGGUUGAGCUGAGGGUCAAUCGGUUCACUAGCCAUUGCAGCAUUUAAUGCUUGUCAGGUGACAGUUACCCUCGACCGGGAAGACAAAUCCCUCGACUGGGAAGGAAAGGCUACUGAAAAAGAGAGAGUCUUUUUUGCACCUCUCGGUCGGACCUCAACAGGAAAGGGGGAGCCGGUCGACCGGUACCCUAGUCAAUUGAGCCUGUUUGGACAUAGCCUUGAUCGGUUCACAAUUUUUUACCCGAAAACCUAUCUUUUUCUAGUAUUUUUGCUUCAAACACAUAGGUAAGGUCUUCAGAUAAAAUAUAUGCCAAUUUUGAAACGUUUAGCUUAAGGUUCAUUUGAUAGAUCUCGGAUUUUGGUGAAAAUGUAACUUUAAAGCAUAAAUCGAGUUUUUCAAAGAUGCAUGAAAUAAUAUGUAAAUCCUAAGUGUAUCAAUGCAUUCAUCUUACAUAUGUUUCCUAUCAUUAAAGGUCUUUCCAAAAGUCUUGAUCUUGCAUCCAUUAGGUCAUUUGAUGAAUUUCCAAAUUAACACCUGAAAUUUUUUAUAAUUUAAACCAAUUAGUAACUUAACUAUGAUUUGUUAUCAUCAAAACAUGAUUAGGAGAACCCUUGGGCUAACAGAGACAUUACGGUUAUAUCCACCAAGACCACUUGGAGGACUAUGCCAAUUUAUUGAGGAUUGCACCUUGGGUGGAUACCAUGUCUUUAAAGACACUUGUUUAAUAAUGAACCUUUCGAAGAUCCAAAAUAUCCAAGAAUCUAGUUAGAUUCGAUAGAAUUCUAACCAGAGAGGUUUCUCAUCAACCAUAAGAAUGUUGAUCCUUAGGGAAAACAUUUUGAAUUUAUACCAUUUGGAGCUGGUCAAAGAGCAUGUCUAGGAAUAGCUUUUGGUCUUCAAAUAUUAUAUUUAGCAUUAGCUAGUUUCUUACAUGCAUUUGACUUUUCAACUCCAUCAAAUGAACAUGUUGAUAUGCGAGAGAGCUUUGGACUUACAAAUAUGAAAUCUAUCCCACUCGAAGUUUUCAUUUCUCAAAUCUACCCCACUUGAAAUCCUCAUUUCUCUACACUUAUCUUCUUGUAGUCUUUACAACUAAAACAUUGAAAUGAAGAGGUCAAAGUUGACCCAGCUAGUCUUGGUUUAAAGACAUAUAGAGUUAGGUUCAAUCAAUCUAUGAUAAGAUUUGAGAUUUGUAUUAAAAGUAGGUUGGACUAAGAAUGAUGUACAAUAAACUAAAGUACUAUCCAUGCAAAUAAAGUAUAACAUUAUAUAUUAUUUGGUUAGCAUUCUGAAAUGUAACAUCAUAAUUAUUUCUUUGUUUUGUCUAAUUUAUCGCCAUUUCACCCCCUCAUCUUCAUCAAAACAAAUAAUAUAUAGUCUUUCUAUUUUUAAAAAUCAAAUUCGAUUCCCAAUUAUAUAAGAAUUUUACUAUUACUUUAUAAUAAACUUUACUUUAGUCUUAAUAACUUUGACUUGUAAAUAUGUUCUCCAUCCUUAAUUAAAUAUACAGAUAAUUUCAUUCAUUUUUUCUAAGAUUGGAGUUAAAUUUACCCAUCCAUACUUAACUUGAAAUUUUCUUAAAUAUCUGUUUUUUUUUCAUUUUUUUUACACGUAUAUCUUUUAAUUUAAAAUAAAAAAUAUUUAAUAAAAUUUCAAAAUAAUAGUUGUCAGACAUAUUUAUGUGACAUUUUCGAAGAGGUGAAUGAAACUAAACUUUUCUUUAAAUAUAAAAUCAUAAAAAUUUAAUAUAUGCAAGCAUGAUCCGGUCUAAAUAUGAUAUAUAAUUUGUGUCAUUUCAAAAAAUCACAGAAGAUCCUUUUGGCAAAGUGGCCCCCCAUUUGAGUUGUAUUCCGUAAUUGGUCACCACAUGUUAUAUCAUUUCAAAGAUUAUGGAGGAUCAUGUUGCCAAUCAUUAUCAGAAGAAGUACAGCUUCCUCUAUAAAACUAAUCAAUACGAUAUUUAGCACAUGCAAACAAAUUUGGAAGGAUCUGAAAGUCAAGUCUACGGGCCACCCCUUUACGACUUGUUCGAAAAAGCACAAAUCAAUGGUGGUGCCACUUGCCAGCAGUCUGUUUCAAUAUCUAAAUGUUACCUCGGUAAGAUUGCUUGACAUACUUUUUGUCUCCUACUAUCUCAUGGAGAUCCAGAGUUGGUAAGAUAAGAAUAGCAUCCGAAGCUGCUGGUGCAUGGCCAAUAAUCGGUCACCUCCUCUUAGGUGGGUCACAACUUCCUGGGAUUUUUUAUAAAAUUACGGUAGAUUUAAAAUUAAUUUUUUUAAAAUGCAGCAUAUUAAUGCUUGACAGCUGACAGUUACCCUCGAUCGGAAAGACAAAUCCCUCGACUGGGAAGGAAAGGCUACUGAAAAAGAGAGAGUGUUUUUUGCACCUCUCGGUCGGACAUCAACAGGGAAGGGGGAACCGGUCGAUCGGUACCCUAGUCAGUUGAGCCUGUUUGGACAGAACCUUGACCGGUUCACAAUUUUUUACCCGAAAACCUUUUUUUUUUUUGGUCUUUUUGCUUCAAACACUUAGACAAUGUCUUCAGAUAAAAUUAUAUACCAAUUUUGAAACGUUUUGCCUAAGGUUCAUUUCAUAGAUCUCGGAUUUUGAUGAAAAUGUAACUUUAAAGCAUAAAUCGAGUUUUUCAAAGAUGCAUGAAAUAAUAUGUAAAUCCUAAGUGCAUCAAUGCAUUUAUCUUACAUAUGUUUCCUAUCAUUAAAGGUCUUUCCAAAAGUCUUGAUCUUGCAUCCAUUAGGUCAUUUGAUGAAUUUCCAAAUUAACACCUGAAAUUUUUUAUAAUUUAAACCAAUUAGUAACUUAACUAUGGUUUGUUAUCAUCAAAACAUGAUUAGGAGAACCCUUGGGCUAACAGAGACAUUACGGUUAUAUCCACCAGGACCACUUGGAGGACUAUGCCAAUUUAUUGAGGAUUGCACCUUGGGUGGAUACCAUGUCUCUAAAGGCACCCGUUUAAUAAUGAACCUUUCGAAGAUCCAAAAGGAUCCAAGAAUCUAGUUAGAUUCGAUAGAAUUCCAACCAGAGAGGUUUCUCAUCAACCAUAAGAAUGUUGAUCCUUAGGGAAAACAUUUUGAAUUUAUACCAUUUGGAGCUGGUCAAAGAGCAUGUCCAGGAAUAGCUUUUGCUCUUCAAAUAUUAUAUUUAACAUUAGCUAGUUUCUUACAUGCAUUUGACUUUUCAACUCCAUCAAAUGAACAGGUUGAUAUGCGAGAGAGCCUUGAACUUAUAAAUAUGAAAUCUAUCCCACUUGAAGUUUUCAUUUCUCAAAUCUACCCCACUUGAAAUCCUCAUUUCUCUACACUUAUCUUCUUGUAGUCUUUACAACUAAAGCAUUGAAAUGAAGAGGUCAAAGUUGACCUAGCUAAUCUUGGUUUAAAGACAUAUGGAGUUAGGUUCAAUCAAUCUAUAAUAAGAUUUGGGAUUUGUAUUAAAAGUAGGUUGGACUAAGAAUGAUGUACAAUAAACUAAAGUACUAUCCAUGCAAAUAAAGUAUAACAUUAUAUAUUAUUUGGUUAGCCUUUUGGAAUGUAACAUCAUAAUUAUUUCUUUGUUUUGUCUAAUUUAUCGCCAUUUUUUCCCUUUCUCUUAUUCCCUCAUCUUCAUCAAAACAAAUAAUAUGUAGUUUUUCUAUUUUUAAAAAUCAAAUUCGAUUCCCAAUUAUAUAAGAAUUUUACUAUUACUUUAUAAUAAACUUUACUUUAGUCUUAAUAACUUUGACCUGUAAAUAUGUUCUCCAUCCUUAAUUAAAUAUACGGAUAAUUUCAUUCAUUUUUUCUAAGAUUGAAGUUAAAUUUACCCAUCCAUACUUAACUUGAAAUUUUCUUAAAUAUCUAUUUUUUUUCCUUUUUUUUACACAUAUAUCUUUUAAUUUAAAAUAAAAAAUAUUUAAUAAAAUUUCAAAAUAAUAGUUGUCAGAUAUAUUUAUGUGAAAUUUUCGAUGAGGUGGAUGAAACUAAACUUUUCUUUAAAUAUAAAAUCAUAAAAAUUUAAUAUAUGCAAGCAUGAUCCGGUCUAAAUAUGAUAUAUAAUUUGUGUCAUUUCAAAAAAUCAUAGAAGAUCCUUUUGGCAAAGUGGCCCCACCUUUGAGUUGUAUUCUGUAAUUGGUCACCACAUAUUAUAUAAUUUCAACGAUUAUGGAGGAUCAUGUUGCCAAUCAUUAUCAGAAGAAGUGCAGCUUCCUCUAUAAAACUAAUCAUAUUUAGCACACGCAAACAAAUUUGGAAGGAUCUGAAAGUCAAGUCUACGGGCCACCCCUUUACGGCUUGUUCGAAAAAGCACAAAUCGAUGGUGGUGCCACUUGCCAGCAGUCUGUUUCAAUAUCUAAAUGUUACCUCGGUGAGACUGCUUGACAUACUUUUUGUCUCCUACUAUCUCAUGGAGAUCCAGAGCUGGUAAGAUAAGAAUAGCAUCCGAAGCUGCUGGUGCAUGGCCAAUAACCGGUCACCUCCUCUUAGGUGGGUCACAACUUCCUGGGAUUUUUUAUAAAAUUACGGUAGAUUUAAAUUUAAUUUUUUUAAAAUGCAGCAUAUUAAAAAAUAUCUUUGAAUAAUAAUAAUAAAAUGACAAAUAAUAAAAAGGAAAGAAAGUUGUCUUGUGGCUAUAAGAAAGAAUAAUAUAAAAGAGAGAGAAGAGGAGAGGCGGAUAGAGAGAAGAGUAGCAGGAAAAAAAAAAAAGAGAACAGGGAGGUGCAUGCUGCAAAUCUUUGGGUGUUCGUAUGACGAGCAAAACGAGUUAUGUUUUGCGUGAAAAUUAAGGUGAAAAUUUUCUUUGACAUGAGGAACAUUCUUUCAAAGUUUGAUUUUAAUUUCAAUGAUUGGAUUUUUUGAUUUGUGGUGAGGUAGUUUAAUCCUAUAACUUUUGUUUAAUAUUUUUUCUUAAAAAAAUAUUAUGGAUUUUAUUACUGGGAGAUAAAUAUGUGUUAUUUGUGUUUUCUUUAUGUUAUUUGAAAUAUGAUUAUUGUUAGGGUGGAUUAUUAUGAUUUUUUUUUUUUUUUAUGUUUGCAAUGAUUUAAUUGAAGAAAAAUUAUUGUGUUGAUUGUUGGAAAUUAUUCAAUAUAUUAAGAAUAAAUAAAAUUUAUAUGAUUAUGGUUUAGACUAUGUUUUGAUGAUAUAUAAAUUAUUGUGAUUUUUUUUGUGGUUAUUUAAUUGAAGAAAAAUUGUUGUGAUGUAAUUGGAAUUAUUGAUUAUGUUUGGAGUAAAUAAAAAUUAUGUCCUAUAAAAUUAUGGAUGAUAACAUGUAAGUUUAUUAUAUUUCAUAUAUGGUUAUAUGAAAAAAAAUGAUGAAAGAUUUUAUGAAAUGGAAAAAGGAAAAAAAAAGAAAAAAAAAAUGAUGAUGAAAAGUAAAAGCCCGUAAAAGACGAAUUAAGAAAGAAAUGAGAUUUCUAGUAUGAAAACUACAAAAAUUUAUCUUAUGAAAACUCUAAAUGGGGAGUGUAUUUGGUACAGAUGCAUAUCAUUAAGUGAAAACCCAAAAACAAUAGUUUGUUACUUUACUGAAUGUAAACAUUUGCAUCAUGUUUUUAUUUGGAAGAAUGACAUGUAUUAAUUACUUGAAUGACGUCAAUGGUAUGUUUGGAUAUAUUAUUAGAGAUUGAAAUGAUUUAUUUAUUUUGUAAAUUUAGAAUUGUUUGAUAUGUUAUUUAUAUAAUUGAAUAAGAAAUGUGAUAAUUUUGAUUAGUUUAAUUUUAUAUGGUUGAUUUUUUAUUUAAUGACUAUAAUGCAUUGUUUUGAAAAUUGGAUCGGACCAACCGGUUCAAUCGCCAACUGGUGAUCUUUCCGGUUCCAUCCUCUCCUUUAAACCGCUAGAUGGUUGAACCGACCACAAACCACUAUUGGCAGUUGGACCGAUGAACCGCUUGGACCAGGUGGUUUUUCAUGAACUGCAUGGCUCAAUUCCAGCCCAGUCUUCCCCCCAUUUUUUCUUUCAUCCAAAUAGUCCAACCUUCCCCUCCUCUUUUUCAUAGGGUCCAAGUGAAAGCCCAAUAAGCCCAGCCUUACAUCUUAAUGGUCUUUAGGCAAAACCUAAACCCAUUUAAACCCCUCAAUGGGUUGUACCUUUGAACCCAUUAGUUACACAAAUAGCUUGAAUGAACUGUGUUUUACGCGCAUAUUCACAUCCACAUCCAUGUGGGAUUGCUGCUAUUUUAAGUCUAAAGAAAAAGCAACGCCACUUAGCUACAACACAAUUUGAUGCAAGUCUAGAAAAUAAAAAAAUCAGCAUGUGUUUCAAAAAAGAUUAAUAAUAUUAAAUAAAAUAAUAUAAUAUUUUCUGAAAUUAUAAAAUUAGUUAAAGUUAAAUAAUUAAAUUUUUACAUAUUCCAUUUAAUAAAGUUCAAAAUAUUAAUAUAUUUAUAUUUAUAUUUUGAUAAUAUCAAAGAUAAAAAAUAAAUAUUUUUAAUUUUUUAAUUUAUAUAAUAUUAUAUUUUGACAUAUAAUUGUUUUCUAUUGACUUAAAUUUUUUAAUUCAUUUGGGUGUAAAACACCUUACAAAACAAUGUGAAAAUGUUCACCCCUUUAUUUUUAUAAAAUUUUUAGAUACAAAUAUAGUUUAUAAGGAACCAUAAGAAAAUCAAGAAGUGUUCCAAAAAGCCUUAACAAAUAAAAGAAAAAUAAUAAUAAUAAUUUUUAAUUUAUAUUACCUUUUUGACAUGUACUAAUUUGAGUUAUAUGAAUUUUUGUAACUUAAAUUAUAUUUUGUUAUUUUGUAAAAUAUUUUUGGAAAUAUUUUUUACUUAGAUUUAUGUAGAUAUUUGGGUUAAUUUGGGAUUAAAUAUUGAUCUAUUCACUGUCAAAUUGGAUAGGAAUAAACUUUAAGGUCAACCCUUUGACCUGAUAUCACUAGUCGGAUUCUGAGUUGCCUUGGGUGUGACUAUAAUGGAUUUUCUUCUCCAAUGCCUAAACCCUGUCAUGGUUGGAGCGUUUGCAAUACUCGUCCUCUCAUACCACCUGUUAUUAUGGAGGUCUGGAGCUGGUAAGAGCAGAAUGGCACCUGAAGCUUCUGGUGCAUGGCCCAUAAUAGGCCACCUGCACCUGUUAGGUGGAUCUAAGAAUUUGCCUCACUUACUUUUUGGAACCAUGGCCGACAAGUAUGGACCAGUAUUCAGCAUCCGGCUGGGAUUAAAAAGAGCUGUGGUUGUGAGUAGUUGGGAAAUGGCCAAAGAAUGCUUCACCACCCAUGACCUGGCUCUGGCCUCCCGUCCUGAGCUUGUGGCCGCCAAAUAUUUGGGAUAUAACUAUGCCAUGUUUGGUUUAUCUCCUCACGGUGCAUACUGGCGUGAAGUGCGUAAGAUAGCCACUCUAGAGCUACUCUCGAACCGCCGGCUAGAGUUGCUGAAGAAUGUCCGAAUCUCAGAGGUGGAGACAUGCAUGAAGGAACUAUACGAGCUUUGGGCAAAGAAGAAAAGCGAAGCAGGCGUUGUUUUGGUGGACAUGAAGCAAUGGUUUGGGCACUUGUCUCUGAACGUGAUUCUUAAGAUGGUUGUUGGAAAACGAUAUUUCGGUUAUGCAGCCGAAAGUAAAGAGAAAGAGGCCCAGCAGUUCCAGAAGGCGAUUAGGGAAUUCUUUCGUUUGAUGGGACUCUUUGUGGUGUCGGAUGCCAUUCCUUUUCUUGGAUGGCUUGACGUGGGUGGACAUGUGAAAGCCAUGAAGAAGACUGCAAAAGAAUUGGACGGUAUUACUCAGGAAUGGUUAGAGGAACACCGACGGCGAAAAGAUUCGGGUGAAGCUGAUGGUGACCAGGACUUCAUGGACGUGAUGCUGUCCAUUCUGGGUGGUAGAGACACUACUGAUUAUGAUGCUGAUACCAUCAACAAAGCUACAUCCCUGGUAUGCACAUUAUUCCUUUAGCAUCUUUAUAUGGUAGUAAAAAAUGAGACAUAAUUUCAUGCUUUAUCAUCUUUAGUCCAGACUCAAGAGUACUUGGGCCUGGGUUGGAAGAACUUCUUAUUUUUGCUUAGUUUCAAGUUGAAACUAAUCAAAAGCAGCGAUUUUUAAAAGGUAAUUAUAAUAGUGGUGUUAUUAAAGGUCAAACAUAAAUAACUUUUUGCAUAAAUCAAAAUAGAGUUUAUAUAUAUAUAUAUAUAUAAAAUAUUUUUCUGAUCUUCAUAUUAAUUUUUCUAAGUCAUAACUUUUUUGAACAAAAUUAGUCAAACCAUAGAACUCUUGAACUUACAGAAAAGGGCUUUCGAUUUCUUAGAAAUAGAUACAUGAAGAGUUUUGUUAUAUGUUUGUUUUUGUCAAAAGAGUAACAUGAGCAGCUUAGACAAGCAAUUAGAAUGAAAUACAACUGGGCUGAGAAGCUGAGUAGAACUAGAAUUAUGUACAACCUCUUGCUAGGAUAAUUGGGUUGGACUUGUAAUGAUAGAGUUCUCCGUUGGAGUUAGGUGGCCCAAAAAGAUUGUGCUGUUUGAAUAGCUGGUCCUCUAAUUUAGGAAGAGGCAGCCGAAUUUGCAACGCUGGGUGGCUGGGCCCAUAGAAAAUAUUCUUGUCAGAAGAUUGUGAAAGUAUGUUCCUUAGUCCGCAAGGUUUGAGGCCUCUUUGAGUGGGCUUCUAGAGUCGGUUAGACAAUUGGGCCUUUCAAAGGAUUUCCUAAAUUUACAAUUUUUUUAGCCCAACAUGAAUUUUUAUAAAAUGCUAUAUUUAUACGUGAGUUUCAUAUUCAAGCUAAACAUACCCAUUUUGAUUGGAAAAAAAGGGAAAGAACAUGGGGCCUUUUUUCCACCCUUAAUCUUAUCACUACUUUUAAUUUUAUUUUAUUAGUUAAUGGUUUGUAUUUCACAGGUUAUGAUUGGAGGAGGCGCUGACACUACAUCUGGUACUUUAACAUGGGCAGUCUCACUUUUAUUGAACAAUCCACACAUAUUAAGAAAAGCUCAAGAAGAAUUGGAUGCUCAUGUUGGUAAAGAAAGACUAGUAAAUGAAAUGGAUAUAAGCAAGUUGGUUUACCUUCAAGCAAUUGUUAAAGAGACAUUGAGGUUAAAUCCAAUAGCCCCACUUUCAGGACCGCGUCAAUUCAUCCAAGAUUCUAUUUUAGGUGGUUACCAUAUCUCAAAAGGCACUCGUCUUAUAUUGAACCUUACCAAGAUUCAAAGAGACCCGAGAGUAUGGUUGAACCCAAUGGAGUUCCAACCAGAUAGAUUCCUCACCACCCACAAAGAUGUUGAUGUUAGAGGUAAACAUUUUGAGUUGACACCAUUUGGUGGUGGAAGAAGAAUUUGCCCUGGAAUAGUUUUUGCCCUUCAAGUGCUACACUUAACAUUAGCCAACUUCCUGCAUAGAUUUCAACUUUCAACUCCAUCAGAUGCACCGGUUGAUAUGAGCGAGGGUUUUGGAUUAACAAACAUCAAAUCCACUCCACUUGAAGUUCUUAUCUCCCCACGCUUAGCUUCUUAUGAUCUUUAUGAGUAGAAUUUGAGGUCGCUAAGAGACUUAUUUCAAAAAACCUAGUACUAUGAAAUGUGAAAUAAAAAUAAAUUUCAUAGCAUAAGUUUAGUAUUAUUUUAAAAUAGUUACUAAUGUCUGUCCUUUAAUAUUGUCUUAGCUUGAAUUUAAUGAAAAAUAUUUUCGACACUUAUUUUGUGUGGACAAGUAAUGACCCAAUUUCUUGUUAUGUUUCUUCAUUCUUCCAUGAAAGAGAAUUUAGAAGAAAAAGUGGCAUAUAGCAUUACAAUUGAAAAAUUAAUAAGCAUGUACUCCAUAUGCAUAGUAGACUUAAUGAGUUUCCAAGUUGAUUAAUUGGUAUCUCCUUUUGAUAGAUUUCAGCCACCUUUUUGUACAUGAUUAAAGUAGUAAUGGAGACUAAAAUUACAACUCCCAUUUCAUUGUAAAAAGUUGGGAUGUGCAAGGUGGGUCAGUUCAAUUUUGGGCAUUAAAAUCAAAUCGAAUUGAACCCAAAAGAGGAAAAUGAUUAGUUUGACUUGAUUAACAAUAAUCUAAGUUGGUUUAUUUUGCUUCUAUUUAUAACAUCAAUUUUUUUUUUUAAUUUGAACGAAAAUAAUAUUAUUGAAGCAAGUCAUCUUUGGACGGUUGAAAUGAUAUUAUUACAACUAAUUUCAAAUCAUAUUAUUAUAACUUAAUGAUGUGAAUAGGUAUUAUUGUAACCCAUGUCAAUCAUAUCAAAUAGUCCAAGUCAUAGAUAAAAGUUAUAAAGGUGUGAUUGGGAGUUCCAUCCAAUGUGAAAAAUGUAUACCCAAUUAAUGAUGUAACCAAUUGUUAUACUGUAUAUUAUUACUGUGUGUAUAACUUUCAAUUCAAUUCAGUUUGGUUCAUUAAUUUUUUUAAUAGGUAAUUGAAUUGGUAUAACUUGGUUUUAUAUUUAAAAAACCAAAUUUAUUAAAAAAUAAAAUCUUAAAAAAUUAAUAGAUUUGGGUCAAUUUCAUUGAUUUUGCCAAUUGUACACCCUAAAAGAAGGGAUGUCCACUUAUCAUCCAUAAACUUUGUGUACUCCUAAGUUACAAUUUUGCCCCAUGUGAUUCACAUUUGUACUUAUUAUACUCAAUUUUCCGUACAAAUGAUUUAUUAUUUUGCAGAAUUUUACUCCAUGAGAUUCACAUUUGUACUUAUUAUUACCAACUUUGUCUGCUCUUAAGUUACAAUUUCUCCUAAUUAGAUUCACAUGCGUUACUGCCAUAAUUGACUUUCCACAUUUAUGCAUGAAUUAUUAUGUCAAUAGAUGCAUUAUCAUUUUGUCAAGUUAAUCUGACUUAGGUUAAUCACCAAAGGCAAGGUGAAUUAAUUGACUCAAUUUUAAUAAAUUUUAAUUUAACUAAGUGCAAGUAAUAAUAAUAAAACAGUUAAAAAAUACAUAAUUAAAUAACUAAAAAGAAGAGAUAACAGGUACAAACUCCGAUUUAUAUUUUGCUCAAUCCCAUACUCUCCUCAAGCUCUCAAAUGCAAAUUGAGGGUUCCACUAGCUUUUAAGACUUCAAUCAAAUCUUAAUCCUUUACACUUGGAUUCUCAAUUUCAAUGAUCUUUUUACACUUUAAUUCAAGAAAUUCCUCACUCUUGAACAUACUCAAAGGUAACACUUGAACAACAUUGAUCUCACAAAAUUUUAUUUACAAAUAAUAUAAAUGAAAACUUAAAUGGUUUUUCUUGGCUAGGAUUUCUAAGUUAAUAAGGAUUUUUGCAUUAAAAAGAAAUAGUUAAAAUCAAUUGGGUUUUGUAAGAUUUUGAUAUAUAUCUUAGUUUGCGAGUUUUUUGGGAUUCUAUUAUAAUCUUAUUGUUUUAUCCUAAAAUUGUCAAAAAAAGAAAUCAGUAAUUUAGUAUGGCAAUUUUACUCCAAAGAUUAUUGAUUAAAAAUUAUUUUACUAAUACCAACGUGUAAGAGUUAAAGGCAUAAAAUUGAAAUUAAAGUAAGUUUAUUAUUUUGGAUUUGGUUAAGUAAUGACAAGAUUAAUAAUUGAAAUUAAUGUAAAAAGAAGUGUAAAAACUUUAAAAGUUUAAAAUAUCAUUUCAUUAUUAAUUAGUUUCCACUUGCCAACAUAGACUUCUCAUUCUAUUCAAACAAGUUUUUUGUACUUUUAUAUAUAUAUAUAUAUAUAUUUCAUAAACUUAACAAAGGAUACAAACAACAAAAGAAAAAAAAAAUUGAGCUACUAAACCUCAAUAUAAAUUUGGGGUGAAUUAUCAAGGUCUAUUAAGGAGCAUGGGGAAGUGUUGUAUCACAUAUCGAUGUGAAGAAGGUGUAUAUAUAUUUAUAGUAUAGGACCUAAGAUGUGAACGUUUCUUUUAAAGUUAGGUAAACAUUUCUUUCAAAAUUAAUGGAAUCUCACUAUGAUUUAUAUACACAUGCUUUCAGUGUCCAUAGAGGUUGAAAUAAUACGAUGAUUUUUAACUUAUAUCUUGCUUUUUAUAUGUGAUUUAAUAUUGUUUUGGAUUAUUGAUUAUGACUCAUGAAUUAUCAUGCAUGGAACUAAUCAAAAUGAUAUAAUUAAAUUAUAUUAAUGAAUUUGAGAUAGACAUGACAAUUAUUAAUUUAAAAUAUCUUAUAUGAACAUAAAAUUUUAAAUAUAGACUCAUAAUUUAUAUAUAUUAAUAUAAUAAAGUUGAAAAACUACGUUUAUCUCAAAUUUAUGCCUAGGGCCCAAAUUUUGCUGAGAGCCAGCCGGAUGUCAUCACAUGCAAGAAAGCUAGGAAACAAAGCUAAAGUUUGCUUCUUGUGUGGGAAGAGGUACUUCCGUGCUUGACUGAAAGAAAGGAUUUUCUACAAGAAAAAUUGUCCCCUUGUUUGUAAAGCCUCAAGUUGCGACAGCAAUAACGACAAAAGUAGGCCAAAGAAUUUGUCAUUAUUAUGAGACUAGAGAGGUUUUACUGAGAAGUUUUCCGAGCGUGAUAUCAGCAUUCGCUGUAUCACAGUGAUACAACAAAUGGUUUGAACACAGUGAUCUAGAACCCAUUAGCUCAAAUUUCAUUGAUCUGAACACGAUGAUCCUCAUCCGCAGACCAUUUUAGGGAAUGAUUAAUUCGAGCGAUUUUUUAACUGCCUGUACGAAGAACUUUAUCAAAAUUGGAUUCAGUGUAUCUUAACCAAUCUUGAUCAGUAUGCGACUGAUGAUUCUAUUUGAUAAAAGUAAUGCGGUGGCCCAACUUUAUCUUAAUUUCUAUGUUGAAAGUAACCAUAUAUUAUUCUAUAAUUAUAAAUAUAUACUGUGGAAUCAAGAUAACUUUGAUAUGCUAAGGAUCAAAAGAGGGCAGCCACUUUAGUAGUGGAUUAUACUAAAUAAAGCUGAUCGAUUAUUACAUUGGAAAAUAACAUUGAACCUAUCAUGAAAGACAACCCUACUGGACCAUGCCCCGAGUACUAAAUGCUGAUAAAAAACAAGUACAUGUUCCAAAGGAAUUGAGUCCAUAUAUACACAUUAGUGCUCAAAGAGAAAAACUAUAUAUCCACCGCUUAACUACAGUGAUCCUUUGAGCAGAAGAAGCUAGCCAUGUAUUUCCUUCUCCAAUACCUAAACAUCACCACGGUCGGAGUCUUUGCCACACUUUUCCUUUCCUACUGUCUAUUAUUAUGGAGGUCUAGAGCUGGUAACAAAAAAAUAGCACCUGAAGCUGCUGCUGCAUGGCCCAUAAUCGGUCACCUACACCUGUUAGCUGGUGGUUCUCAUCAGCUUCCCCACAUAACCUUGGGAAACAUGGCCGACAAAUAUGGACCGGUCUUCACAAUUCGGAUUGGGUUGCAUCGAGCUUUGGUGGUAAGUUCUUGGGAGAUGGCUAAAGAAUGCUCGACCGCCAAUGACCAGGUUUCAUCCUCGCGUCCCGAACUUUUAGCCUCAAAACAUUUGGGCUACAACUACGCCAUGUUUGGUUUCUCUCCAUACGGUUCUUACUGGCGUGAAAUGCGCAAGAUAAUCAGCCUAGAGCUACUCUCUAACAGCCGCUUAGAGCUGCUGAAGGACGUCCGAGCUUCAGAAGUGGUGACAUCCAUAAAAGAGCUAUACAAGCUCUGGGCAGAGAAAAAAAAUGAAUCGGGCCUUGUCUCUGUGGAGAUGAAGCAGUGGUUUGGAGACUUGACUCUGAACGUAAUUCUUAGGAUGGUGGCAGGGAAGCGUUAUUUCAGUGCUUCAGAUGCAAGUGAAAAUAAACAGGCGCAGAGGUGCCGGAGAGUGUUCAGGGAAUUCUUUCAUUUGUCAGGGCUCUUUGCGGUGGCGGACGCUAUUCCAUUUCUUGGAUGGCUCGACUGGGGGAGACAUGAGAAAACCCUAAAGAAGACAGCAAUAGAAAUGGACAGUAUUGCUCAAGAAUGGUUAGAGGAGCACCGUCGGAGGAAAGACUCCGGUGAUGAUAAUAGUACGCAAGACUUCAUGGAUGUGAUGCAGUCAGUUCUUGAUGGCAAAAACCUUGGUGGUUACGACGCUGAUACCAUCAAUAAAGCCACAUGCAUGCCUGGUAUGAGUUAUUAAUGAAGCACCCACGUACCAUUUAUAUUUGCAUAUUAUCAGGGCUAGCUUCUUUUCCACAGACAGUUUUUCUUUUGUUUAUAUGUUUUAAUUGAUGCAUAUUCACUUUCUUCUUCUCUUAAUUAAAUUGCAAUAAUUAAACAUACAAUUUAAAUAAAUUUUAAAUUUUAUUUUUAACUAAAAACAAAAGUAUACAUAUACAAAUAUAUAUUGCUUAAGCAAUUAAUUUUUAAAAAUUAUUCUUUCAGAACACCUUAGACAAGUUGAGACAUGCUUCGAGGGAAAUCUAAAUAUAAUGAUUUUAAAAGCUACUUUGUAAUUUUAUUUUCGAGCAUGUUGCAUAAUAUAUGCUUUCCUUGAAUUGAUUUUCUAAAUUUUAUUUUUGUCAGCAAGAAAGGGUUAUCUACGUUUUGGAAGUUAUCUUUAAUUUCCCCUGCAAAGAAUAAGUGUGUGGACCCUGCAUUUCGGCUCAAUGCGUUUCCCACUCGAUGGCGAGCUCGAUUUUUAUUUGAAAAAUGAUUUUUAUUGAUUAUUUAGAAAAUGACUUGGAGUCGCCACUUAUUUUUGUUUUAUUUUUAAAGGGUAAACAAAAUAAGAAAGAAAAACCCUAAGUGUGACUCCUUAUUUUGGAAAAGGUGGUCUGUGAAAAACUGAAUCGGGUUCAGGGGUCAGGUUACUUAUUGGGAAGGUACGGUAUGGACCGUAGCACCCCUCUAAGUCCCUAAAGUCGGGUCUCUACUAAUGAGAUGAAGCUGACAUGGCAAUCAAUGAGAAAAUCAAUGAAUACUCGAAUCAAUCAUGCACAUAUGAGAGACAAAGCAUGUAUAAAGAAUGAGCAAAAUAUGAAUAGAUGCGUACCUGGGCGACAAUCACGAAUGCGCUAUCAUGAAACAUGGUUAGUGAACAAUAAACAUAUAUAAUUAAGCGCAUAUCAAGGAAUAGAGUAAAUCAAUCAUGCAUGACAAAUAAAUCAAUCAAUCAUGGAAUCUCAUAUGUAGGGCCCCCACCAAAACCCAAUUCAUUUUUGCAUGAAUCAAUUCCAUAAAUUCCAUCACUUGGAAUUACGGAAUUUAAUUCUUACUUAUUUUUAAAACAUUUUAAAAACCAAGAAAAUGCACAAGUGGCUUGCCGGAAGGAAAAUGGCAACCAAAUUUUAUUGAAAAUGGGAUUUAAGAAGAUUAUUUUCAAGAAAACAGGGGAUGAGAGAAUAGAAGGAAAUGGCACAUGGUCAAGAGCUGCAUGCCUAAGGUGGCCAUGCAAAAACACUUCCCUCUAAGCUCAGGGUGGAGGGACUGCACUAUAAGGAUCAGUGGUGCUGCAGAGCUUGUCAGAACAGCUGAUGGCAUCAUAGGUGUUGCUCCUGAUUGCCUGAAAGAAUUCAUCUCUAAUGGACGGAAUCGAUUGCUCUACAUGAUUAUUCCAGAAGGUAAUGGUUGAGUCCUUAGCUUCACGAACCCAAUUUUUUAUGUCAUUACUUCCCAUCAAACUACCAUGACAUAGGAGCCACACUGAGCAAACUGAUGAGCCCGCUGCCCCACAUGUAUAGGGAAUCCAGUACAAAGUUAAUUUCCGCGGUUUACGAUGUUCGGAAACAAGGAUACUUAGGUAAGAAUCCAGCUUAUACAUGAUAAAUCACGNNNNNNNNNNNNNNNNNNNNNNNNNNNNNNNNNNNNNNNNNNNNNNNNNNNNNNNNNNNNNNNNNNNNNNNNNNNNNNNNNNNNNNNNNNNNNNNNNNNNGUGGAUGCCGCCUAUGAUACUAGCCUCAGAAAUCAUGCCAUUGACAUCGUUGUGCUUGUUACUAUUGCCAUCUCUAUCUCACAUGUGAGAGCCCUUGAUGGAAUCAAUUAAAAUAAUCCUUGAUAGAAACGUGGACUUCAUGUCUCAAAUCUGGCCUUUCAUAUCUCCUCAUUUGUCCAUGUCAACUAUUGUCACCAAGCCAUAAGCCUCUUGAUCCCAUGAUAACCCCAUUAUUCAACCCAAUACUUCAAUGAUGAUUCUCUUUCAUUUGCAUUCCUGACCUUCUCUUAUCUCCAUUACUGAUCCCAUGGAUGUUUACAGGAUUGAGUAUUUGGACGAGAGCAAACUUUGAUUAGAACCCUGUAUCAUGUUGAGUCUCUGCCAGCCUGGAAGGAUAAAAAUCACGUUGCCCCAUAUGGUGAGUUUUACUUUGAUUUACUCUUCCUCCUUGAUUCGUAUAAUGCAAGAAGGACAGGAGUUAAAAUGUCACGGAUAGCAUGAUGGCAAUGCCCAAAAGUAGCGUCAGUGUACAUUUGAGUCAAACGCGACUCCAUAUCAAACAUUGGCGGCCAGCGUCCAAGUCAAAGGGACGUAGUGCCCAUAAUUCACUGUUGAUAUUCUUCUUUCUGGGGAUGGAACAGAUCCAACUUCAAGGAUUGGGUGAGUCUCCUAAGAACUUUUCAUAAGGAUGGAUGACUGCCCAACAAUGCACUCAGGUUCCAUCAUUGCAAAGCCUCAACAGACUGCAUGCACCAUUCGUCGCGUACCUCACGACAAAUGUGAGUCUGGUUAAUCCCGUAGGAGGACUCCAAGCAGCAUGCAUAACGUACCUCUUCGGAAUAUCACAACGAGACCCACUGGUGCCCUCGUCUGAAUACCCCUCCGCCUCUCAUUCAAGUAAUGGGUGUUGGACCCAUGUAUGCAUGCAAAGAUGGAGGAGUGAAGUGGUGAGAGAAAGGAUGUAUGGAUUUAGCUGCGAGUAAGGUCACGGGUAUGGGAGGAUGGAUGCGGUGAAGACCUUUGAGGGUGAUGAAAAAUGGUGCAUGGAGUAAGAUAGGCUAAAGUGGAAAUGCGUGGUAGAAUGGGCAUAGGAGUAUCAUGAGAGAAGUGUGCAGGGACUACAUGCAUGUGGGUGGCUAGGGAAGUAAAAGAUGGGUUCAACAGUGAAACGUAUGGGAAUGAUGAGAGGGAAAGCGGAUUAGCAGAUGGGGUUAAUGAGUGAUAUGAAGAAUGGGGUAUGAGACCUGGGUAUAAGGUGAAAUGAAUAUGACAUGGUUAUGCAUGGCCAUGCCAUGGCCAUGCAAGAACAUGAUGGAAAGGGAGUGACGGAUGUAUGAAUAAUGGAGAGCAUGAGGAGGUAUGGGAUAGAUGAACAGGGCUGGAUGGUGGAUGAUGAAUAAGUAAUGGUGAAAUGGGUAUGAAAGAGUUUGAAGAGAGAGAAAAGGUGGUAAUGUGGAAUGGGUUUGAUAGGUGGGAGUACAAAGUGGGUAUGAAGAUGGGUAUGAAUGGUUUAGUAGGUACGAGACAAAUGGGUUAGAUGGAGGGUAUAAUGGGUGAUGUAAUGAUGGAAACCCGGGCGUUUAUUCAUCUUUGGAGGCACGAUACCCGGGUCAUGAACAGAUGGAUCACACUUCUUGGCCAGCUGCAUUCAGGCCAUAGUCAAUACAACCGACUUCGCUACCUCCAUUUCCAGGCACAGUGAUUGACACAAAGGAAGGUAACUUCCCAAUAAUCAAGCUUCUUUCGAUACAAGGUCUGCAUGGCUUAGCCGAGUUCAGUUUAGUUGGGUGUCGAAUCCCAUUGGUCAGUAGACCCAUUUGGAGCGAAACUGAACCCUUUAAUCCAAAUGGACCGUUACAGAGAGCACAAAGCAGCAGUAGGAUUAGCAAGACCCAGAGCAUAAGAGCGGGCUGUGACCAUGGCAGAGAUUCCAAAUUAGAAAGCAAGCACAAAACCAUCCAUGGAAGAGGUUAUCCAAGGUUUUGGAUGCUUAUGAAGUUUUCCCGCAAGUUGAACGAAUCUGUAACAGAGUGCCUUCUGAUCUAACCUGCAUAGUUUCAACAUGUACCACACCAUCCCCAUUCACGGUACCUCCAAUCACUAUGUCACCCUUCUUUCUUCGCCAUAGGCCUAGCAUCCUCUGUGAGCAUGUUCUUGAACCCACAAUCUCCCGCUUUACCUCAUGGAAACAUGUCAACCAAAAUAGCCCACCCAUCAAGUGACUGAUUCAACUCUGAUACCCGACAUCUCAGAUGCACCAACAACAGAAGCACAAAAGGGUAGGAAAUGGGGCCAAAACAGAAAAGAACGAAGGAAGGAUAAACGAGGAAUAAAGUAAAACAUAAGUGUAUAGAGCCUCAUUUCAGGUGACAUCCAUGGGCUUAUACAAGUGAGGAGAUCUCAAGUUAGAGUUACAGAAUAUAUGAGGAACCGAGUUCUAUUAACUCCAAGCCAAACCACAAGAACAGCAGUAAAAUCAACAACAAUAGAGUAUAAAAACGAUCCAGAAAUCAACAAAAUUCAGUACGUAUGACCCAACUCAAAUUGAUGAGCAAUGCAGAGCAAACCAAAAUGAGAAAAGGGUGAGAAAAAUAUGAAUCAAAGUAAGCAAGAAACUCACCUCAAACUCACCUGCAGACGCUCCUCUCUCUAUUCCUUCAUUCUCUAAGCUUCAGCUAGCCAAAAACAACGCCCAGAAUCUCCGUCACACAGCCACCCAAAACCUCCUCCUCUGCAGCCUCGAACCUCUCUGCCAACAAACAGCAACCAAAAGCACCUCCCCCUCUCGGAAACUUCUUUCUCCCUAAAAAAAAACUCUCAGACCAGCCUCUCUAAAGCUCCCCCUCUCUCAAGUUCACCGUCCAAAAUUACUCCUCUCAUGGAAAAACUCCCUGGAAUCCCCUCAGCAGCCCCGGUACCUCCAGCUAAAAGAAAAUCACCCCCCCCGGUUCUCAUGUCUCUCUCACCUUUUUUUCUCUCUAGCCAAAACCAGCUUUCUUUUCCUCCCUUUGGAAAUAUCUCCCUAACGGCCAGACGACACCCACCUGCCUUGCAGCUGCAAGCCUCCACUCCCCCCUAUGCAGCUGGCAGCCUCCCAAAAUCAACCCAACAAAAGCUCUUCCCCUAAAGAUUUCUGCCACCUUCCUCUUCUAGGCAAUAUCUCUUUUCUGUCCCGGAUUUGCCCCUCCAACAAUCCCUGUAGCCACCUCCAGCACCACUACACUCUGCAUGCAACUGGCAACACCUCCUAACGGAAAGCACGCUCCCUUCUUCUAGAAUGUUCUUCACUUUCCAGGUGUCUUCCUCUUAUUAGUCCAUCAAUUCCACCAUAGUGAUUCCACUAGUAGCCAACCCGAGAGUGACACGUGGCCAUGCGAGAUGGUGACACUUGUCCAGCAUCAGCUGCAAGAAUGACUCCCAAAAUGGGGGUCUACAACUAUGCCCAUUUUCGGUAGAGUUCACAAGUGUAAGGAAAAUGAACACUGGAAUGAAAGGUAGGUGUGAAUAGUGAGUGGAAUGAAGUGAACUCUACCGAAGAACCAAGGAGACCCCCAUAGGGACACUAGCAAAACACGAAUUCGCUCAGGCUGACAGACUGACACAAAGGCUCUGAUCCUAAAACAAAAUGAUGUCUCAAAAUGCCUCUGAGGCCAUACUAAGGAUCCAAGCUCCCUUUAACAUGCCUCCAAAAGUGACCCGAAGAUCGAUGUCAAAAGUGAGUAACGGUCGAACCACCCUGGAGUACGAACAAGAAUGCGUCUAAAGGAGACUGCCCUAUGUGGACUAUGAGAUGAAUAGGUGAUAAGCACAGGGUAACGAGGUGAGAAGAGUGAGAAUAAGUGCAAAUCCAUGAAGGUGAGAUGCGCAAUGCCAGUGAAUAUGAACGCUAGGGGCUGCGACUCUGAAUGACGAGACUGACCCUAAACGCUAAACUGAGAAAAACAAUGGCUCUGGAAGCCAGACCAAAAACUAACUCUAAAAACUAAACUAGAAUAACAGCUCUGGAAGUCAACCAAAAACUAACUCUAAAAGCUAAACUAGAAAACAACAGCUCUGGAAGCCAACCAAAAACUAACUCUAAAAACUAAACUAGAAAAUAACAGCUCUGGAAGCCAACCAAAAACUAACCCUAAAAGCUAAACUAGAAAACAAACAGCUCUGGAAGCCAACCAAAAACUAACUCUAAACUAGAAAAUAAUAGCUCUGGAAGCCAAACUGAAAACUAACUCUAAAAGCUAAACUAGAAAACAACAGCUCUGGAAGCCAAACCAAAAACUAACUCUAAAAACUAAACUAGAAAAUAACAGCUCUGGAAGCCAACCAAAAACUAACCCUAAAAGCUAAACUAGAAAGUAACAAACAGCUCUGGAAGCCAACCAAAAAACUAACUCUAAAAACUAAACUAGAAAAUAACAGCUCUGGAAGCCUAAACAAGUCGACAGUAACGACUCUGGAAGCCUAAACAAGAUGAUAGUAAUGGCUUUGGAAGCCUAAACAAGAUGACGGUAACGACUCUGGAAGCCUAAACAAGAUGAUAGUAAUGGCUCUGGAAGCCUAAAUAAGAUGACGGUAAUGGCUCGGAAGCCUAAACAAGAUGACAGUAACGACUCUGGAAGCCUAAACAAGAUGAUAGUAAUGGCUCUGGAAGCAUAAACAAGAUGACAGUAAUGACUCUGGAAGCAUAAACAAGAUGACAGUAAUGGCUCUGGAAGCAUAAACAAGAUGACAGUAACGACUCUGGAAGCCUAAACAAGAUGAUAGUAAUGGCUCUAGAAGCCUAAACAAGAUGAUAGUAAUGACUCUAGAAGCCUAAACAAGAUGAUAGUAACGACUCUGGACGUCGAAACUAAAAAGUGAUGAUGAUGACUCUGAACGUCAAACUGAGAAGUGAUAACGACUCUGAACGCCAAAACCGAGGAUGCGACUCUGAAUGUCGAUCUGAAAACCGAUGAUGGCUCUGAACGCCUAAACUGAGAAAUGAUGAUGAUGACUCUGAACGUCAAACUGAGAAGUGAUAACGACUCUGAACGCCGAAACCGAGGAUGCGACUCUGAAUGUCGAUCUGAAAACCGAUGAUGGCUCUGAACGCCGAAACUGAGAAGUGAUGAUGAUGACUCUGAACGUCAAACUGAGAAGUGAUAACGACUCUGAACGCCGAAACUGAGGACGCGACUCUGAAUGUCGAUCUGAAAACCGAUGAUGGCUCUGCACGCCGUAACUGAGAAGUGAUGAUGAUGACUCUGAACGUCAAACUGAGAAGCAAUGAUGAUGACUCUGAACGUCAAACUGAGAAAGUGAUAACGACUCUGAACGCCGAAACCGAGGAUGCGACUCUGAAUGUCGAUCUGAAAACCGAUGAUGGCUCUGCACGCCGUAACUAAGAAGUGAUGAUGAUGACUCUGAACGUCAAACUGAGAAGCAAUGAUGAUGACUCUGAACGUCAAACUGAGAAAGUGAUAACGACUCUGAACGCCGAAAUCGAGGAUGCGACUCUGAAUGUCGAUCUGAAAACCGAUGAUAGCUCUGAAUGCCGAAACUGAGAAGUGAUGAUGAUGACUCUGAACGUCAAACUGAGAAGUGGCUCUGAACGCCGAACUGAAAAAUGUGACAUGAUGACUCUGAAUGUCGUAAACCGUGAAUGAACGGCGACUCUGAACGCCAGACUGCAAGGAAACAAUGUGGGGGAAAUAUGCCCCAGUGUGACAUGCCGCUGCAAAUCUCAAACUGCUAGAAAUGGCUAAAAGGGACUCUACGAGUCUCGAAAGACGCACCACUAAGAGCUCAUGUCAAUGAAGAGCUCAGGAACAACGGUCAGUGAGGCGAAUACAAUAUAUCUCGGCCGAGUGAUGGAAACCGCGACGGACAUGUGAGAGAACGAUCGCCUCCAUGGCUAAAUGAGGGAAAUACGCCCCAGUAUGGCAUCAGAUGUACCCGAUCUGCCCUGAUGACCCGAGAAUAACACCAUGGGGAUGCAUAAAAGACCUGAUGUGUACCGCACUGAAAUGAUGACAUGGGGAUCCAAGCACUCGACAUAACCCCAUCCAGGAAUCACGACUAUAUCAAAGAGUAUGAAUCUGGCUGAACGAGUCAAGAGAGGCUCCUCGGAGUAUCAGGACAAAAUGAAAUCAAUCAUCAACCUGGCGUGUAUCUCAUAACUGUGGAUGAUCAUGUAAACCAGUGGGGAUCUAUAAAUCUCGAUCAAGAUGGGGAAUAUGCCCCAGUGUGGCAUCGGAAAUGUAACAUGUCGAAAAAUCAGCUGAGCUCAAAUCAUCUAUGCCUGCAACUAGCUAGAUGGCUCUCGAUAGGCUCCACUAAGGAAUCAUCGCGAGGAUAGCGAAUAUAUCAUCAUCCCUGUAUACAUCUCGCAAAUAAGGAUAAGCACGCAACUUCCUCAUGAUCUGUAAAUCUCAUCCGAACGGAAAUAUGCCCCUGUAUGGCAUCGAAAUGUAGGAUAGGUCGGAGAUCAGAUAGCAUGGAAUCAUCUAUCUUAGAACAUGUGACCUCUGCGAAAAUCCAUAAAGAUCCUCCGAAACGGAAUAUGCCCCAGUAUGGCAUCUGACGUGCGACAAACCAGGAAAAACAGGUGACAUCGAAUCAUCCCUCAUCAAACACGUGAUCCUGGUAAUCCAAACACGGUCGAAACGGAUCUAAACAUCUGAGAAGUGUUUCUCAGAAGAAGAUGCAUGGCAAAUAUCUGGAUGUCAACUGAAUCUCAAACACCUGUCCACAUAGAAGCCGUAGAAGACGAUAUCUGAUCCCAUGGCCUCAGGGUGGUCUUAAGACACAGGACGUAAUGUAGGCUAGGGUGAUAGGGUGAUAGAAACGAAGGGAAACUAAGCUCAAAUACCCAAUGAUCAAAACCCAUGCCCUCGUGUGUGAAAUGCAACAUGUACAGAAAAUCCUGUGAGCCCUGGACCUGAGGGUGUCUAAUGUGAAUAUGAUGUCAAUGAGGAAACAAGUGAAGCAAAUCAAACUGAUAAUGAGAUAUGUAAUGGUGAUACGAAGGGAAUAUCAAACCCGAGAUGGGUCUGGUAAGAAAAGAAUGAGAAGUGAAGUGAGAAUGACGAAUCAGAAGCGAAAACGAGGACGAUGAUAAUGAAGCGAAUAACAUCAAAAGGAGUGAUGAUCAACUCAGAUCAGACAUGGAGUGAUGUCACAUCAACUACGAACAUAAUGAUGGAACGUACAAUAACGCAGAGCUCCUAAGAGAAAGUCACUCAUCUCGCUCACAAAAUAUGCAACAAAAUGAAUACAAAGCCUGAGGGAUCCAGGGAAGCUCACAUACGAACUCCCGUCAACAAACAUACUCGAUCAAGUGACCCUCGAAUAUCAAUACAUACACUCAGUGAUGGAUAACAAAACACACUUGAUUUUUAUUUCUUUUUCCAUUUUUUUUUUUUCAUUUUUUUCAUUCAUUUUUUUUUUUUUUUACAACAUAUAAAUGAACUGUACAUGAUCUGAAUGCAUACAAAGAAGACCCAAAGACGGGAUCAAAAAUGAAUAAACAUGCCCUCAAAUAUCAAUAUAUCACAAACUCAAUCUAAUGAGAUGAGGUGACCUUCUCAAACUGAGGAUCCCUGGAUCAGUGUCCGUGGGAUAGAUAGUGGAAAUGGCGUGACUACCCUCCAUGUGAUGAAAUGAGGAGGAUCACCCCUCGGGGUGAAAGAAGAUGACAUGAAACGAAUAGUAGAUAAGAUAAAGAAAAUAUGAUGAAUAACACGAACAGUGAGAUGAGAUGAAAUGCAAUGAUGCAGUGGUGAGCACAGAUAAUGAGAAGAACGUGCCCCUAGGUCCAAGGCUCAUGAAACUCUCAAACAAUGCAUGCAUACACUAAAGGGCCCCAAUCCCGGUGUGAAAAUGUGAGCAAGGCUAUAGAAAAUGAAGGCUAUGAUGCGCGUGUGAGGCUCAAAUGGGCUAGCAAUGGACUAUAUAUAUCAGAAACGGGAUAAAGGGAUAUAGCUAACCGAAAUGAUGGCCACCCAUCCUGCGACCAUGGACUCAAACGUAGUACCUCUUUAGCUGAUCCACAUUGGUCGGCUCUGAGAACUGGUUUCCAUCUAAAUCCAUCAGCCAUGCAGCGCCCUCUGGAGUCAACUUCCUGAUGAAAUAAGGUCCGCUCCAACUAGGUCUGAACUUCCCUCUAGGAUCUCUGAUCAAUCCUCUGAUGACUCUCAAAACUAAGUCACCUACAUGCAGUGGUCUAGGCUUGACCUGCUUUUUGAAAGCGCGGGCCAUCUUCCUCUGAUAUGCACGAACGUGGUCUGCUGCUCUCAAUCUCCUCUCAUCUAGGAGAUUGAGCUGAUCAAAUCGAGCCUGAGCCCAAUCCGUCUGGGGAAUCUGCUGCUCUAGUGCUACUCUCAAUGAUCCCAUCUCAAUCUCAACAGGUAGCACUGCCUCCAUGCCGUACACCAAUGAAUAGGGUGUGGCUCCUGUAAAGGUGCGAAAAGAAGUCCGAUAUGCCCACAAUGCGAAAGGGAGCUUCUCUGACCAAUCCCGAGAAGUCUCAACCAUCUUUCGCAAUAUCCUCUUAAUAUUCUUAUUCGCGGCCUCUACUGCCCCAUUCGUCUGCGGCCUGUACGCAGACGAUCUAUGAUGCCGGAUGCCGUAUCUCUGCACCAAGGUGUCAACCUCUGCUCUGAAAUGCACCCCUCUGUCUGAAAUAAGCUCGUGAGGGACUCCAUAGCGACAAAUGAUGUGCGAUCUAAUGAAACUGACAACUCCAGAUGACGUCAAUCUCGCAUACGAGGCGACCUCCACCCACUUGGUGAAGUAAUCAAUAGCAACAAGGAUAAACUCAUGACCACUGGAAGAUUUCGGUGAAAUCUUCUCGAUGAUAUCGAUACCCCAUACUGAAAACGGCCAUGGUGAAGUCAAUGCAUGCAACUCCGAGGGCGGCACGUGAAUGAGAUCUCCAUGUAUCUGACACUCGGGACAUCUCUGAACGAACUGGCAACAAUCUGUCUCCAUGGUCAACCAAAAGUAUCCUGUCCUCAUGAUCUUACGGGCCAACAUAUGCCCCCCAUAUGUGGUUCGCAGACUCCCGCAUGAACCUCUCGCAUAACUCUAUCGGCAGAAGCGCGAUCCAAACAUAAUAGCAGUAUCCCAUCAAAUGAUCGUCUAUAUAGCGUCUCGCCACAAAUCACGAAUCGGGUGGCCAACUGUCUCAAUGCCCUCCUAUCCUUGGCCGUGGCGGCCUCAGGAUAUAUGCCGAGUCUCAAAAAGUGAUAUAUGUCAUGAUACCAGGGCAAACCAUCGUCUAUCUCCAUAUCAUCAAUCAAACAACAAUACGCAGGAGCAGAUCUCGACUCAAUCAACAAAGGGCGAACAGUGGCAUCAGCGGGAAUGUCGAUCAUGGAAGCUAGAGUAGCUAAAGCAUCAGCAAACUGGUUUUGCGCUCUAGGCAGAUGUGUAUAUCUCAAAUCCUCAAAUCUCGCGACCAGUAGCUCCAAAUACGCGUGGUAAGGCCUAAGCUUCACAUCUCUAGUCUUCCACUCGCCUUGAAUCUGUCUCAAUACCAGAUUGGAGUCACUAAACACCUCCAUCUGUCUAAUCCCAAGCUCGAGGGCUGUCUCUAACCCCAAGAUACAUGUCUCAUACUCAACAAUGUUGUUCGUGGCUGGAUGUCGAUCCGAGAAUGCCAAACGAACAGAUCUGGGAAUGUGAUCACCAUGAGGGGAUAUCAACAAAACGCCUAUCCCGUAUCCAGAAUGGUUGGCUGCACCAUCAAAGUACAUGCGCCAACCCGACAGACUAGUCGCAGCUGCGACGUCCUCGUCUGGAAAAUCAUCGUCAAUAGCUCUGGCAUCAGAAACUGGUAAUGAGGCUAAGUGAUCUGCGACAAUGCUCCCUCUGAUGGACUUCUGAGUGACAUAAUGAAUGUCAAACUCAGUCAGAAGUACCAGCCAUCUCAUAAGGCGACCAACUAGAGCGGGCCUGUCAAACAAAUAUCUCAAAGGAUCAAGACGAGAUAUCAAAUGCACUGAAUACUCGGUCAUGUAAUGUCUCAAUCGGCGAGUGGCCCAAACCAAUGCCAAGCAGUAGCGCUCAAUCGUGACGUAUCUCGUCUCGUAAUCUAGCAUCCUCUUGCUCAGAUAAUAAAUGGCUCGAUCUUUGCCCGAAUCAUCGAGCUGAGCUAACAUGCAACCUAAAGCCACAUCCGAAACUGAUAGGUAUAGGAGUAGAGGAUGGUCUGGUGUAGGCGGAGCCAAAACUGGAGGCGACAACAAGUACUCUCGGAUCCUCUCAAAUGCGCGCUGACACUGAUCAUCCCAAACAGUAGGUUGACUCUUCCUCAAGAGUCGGAAAAUGGGCUCACAAAUGUCUGUCAAUCUGGCUAUGAAUCUACUGAUGUACUGAAGUCUGCCCAGGAAGCCUCUGACCUCUCUCUCUGUCCUCGGUGCAGGCAUGUCAAGGAUGGCUCUAAUCUUGUCCGGAUCUACCUCUAUGCCUCGCUCACUGACCAUGUACCCCAAGAGUUUCCCAGAAGUCACUCCAAAAGUGCACUUCUUGGGAUUCAGCCUCAAUCUAAAUUGUCUGAUCCUCUCAAAGAACCUCUCAAGAGCUGCCAAGUGAUCUGAUCUAUCUCGGGAUUUCACUAUCAUGUCGUCUACAUAAACCUCGACAUCCCGAUGCAUCAUGUCAUGGAAGAGUGUGGUCGCUGCUCUCUGAUAGGUGGCUCCUGCGUUCUUCAAUCCGAAUGGCAUGACUCUAUAGCAAUAAGUACCCCACUCGGUAAUGAAGGACGUCUUCUCCAUGUCCUCUGGAGCCAUCAAGAUCUGACUAUACCCGGAAAAUCCGUCCAUAAAGGACAACAUCGAGUGACCUGCUGUACUGUCAACUAACAUGUCGAUGUGUGGGAGAGGAAAAUCAUCUUUAGGACUGGCCUUGUUGAGAUCUCGGAAAUCAACACAGACUCUCACCUUGCCGUCUUUUUUGGGAACAGGGACGACAUUGGCCAGCCACUCUGGGUACUCGACUACUGAUAGAAAUCCUACACUGAGCUGCUUCUGAAUCUCCUUUUUCACCUGCAAGCUCCAACGAGGGUGCAAUCGUCUCAACCUCUGCUUAACCGGUCUGGCAUGGGGCAGAAGUGGCAAACGAUGCUGGACGAUGGAUGGAUCAAGGCCCGGCAUGUCCUCAUAGGACCAUGCGAAAACGUCCAAGUAGGAUCUGAGCAGCUGGAUGAGACUAUCUCUCUCAUCUGAGGAUAAAUCUGACCCGAUCCUCAACUCCCUAGGCUGAUCUGCGGUGCCGAAAUCAACAAUCUAUGUGUCUCCUACAGCAGGUGAAACCCUCUGAUCAACGGGAUCCGAAUCGGAAACAGAAGAUGAGUCAUCAUCUGAGUCGUGCUGUGCAAUCUCAUCAUCAAUAUCAAAAAUCUGUGAUGUGGGUGAAGAUGGUGCAGAUAAAUCAAUAUCACAAGAGACAGGCAGGUACUAAAAAAUGCUCAAAUCCAUAGAUGAAACAUCGGAAACAAUGUCAGAACGGGAGACAAACCCCGACUGAACGUCAAAUGAAAGAGGUGGGUCCACAAAGUCGGACGCUUCCUCAACAAUGCCAACAUGGCUAUCAAUCAAAUCAUAAAAAACUAUAGCAUCCUUAGUAAUCUCCAGAGCAGGGGCUGUCUGGAUCUCCUCAACGAUCUCGAUGAAAGACACCCCGAAAAGAUCGAAUGGUGAAGUGAGCCCAGGAUGAACUCUCUCCUCGAUCGGGCCCAGGCUCAGGGCGAGCAUCUCGUCGAUGUACUCGUCGUGUGGGACGGCUCCGUCCACUAUGUCUCCGACCCCAGCAAAGGUCUCAUGCUCAUCGGUCUCGUCCGGGAAGCAAAGCGUUAUAAGGCUCGUGCGAUCUGGAGACGAAGGAGCAAUCAACACAGAAGUCGAAGAGCCAGGAGCUCCAUCUCUCAAUCGUAACUGAUGGACAAGGCGCUGAAGCUCGACCUCCUGAGUGGUGCUAAGUCCUCCAAUGAUCACGUCCGCACGGGUCAAUGGCUCUGAUGCCCUCACAAAAUAAUCAGAUAAGCUCCUGGUGUAUGGGCGAAGAGGAUAGUAGAAAGGUGUGUGGGUCAGUCACUCUCUCCUUGCGCAAACGCGCCAUGUAGAGAUAAUCGGCCUCAAUGGGGAUGAACCCGAGUCCGAACGGUACGUCGUGAUCAGGGAUGGCUAUGAACUCGCUCGGUCCAUGCUGACAUCGACCCAACCCCAUGCCGGGUAGAUAGGACAUGCUUCGCAUAAUAUCGAGCACCACUGUGCUCCCAUGCCGGUCAAAGGACAUGGCCACAAAAUCCCGGCAGAAAUCCUCUAUCUCCACAGUCUGCACCUCAUCGAAGGUGAAUUCAGUCAGAAAAAGAUCGUCAUCAGUGUGACUAAUCUCGAGCACAGGCUCGGCAACAAUGAACAUGUCUCCCACAGACUGUACCACGACGACCUGACCAUCGUGAAUAAACUUCACCUUCUGAUGAAGGGAAGAAGGAAUGGCCCCGGCUCUAUGGAUCCAUGGUCGGCCCAGAAGCAGGUUAAAGGAUGUAGGAAUCCUCAAAACCUGGAAUACAGCGACAAAAGUGGCCGGACCGAUCAGCAACUCGAUCUCCAAUGUACCCAUGACCUCUCUACGGGUGCUAUCAUAAGCUCGGACGGUCUGAGUGGAGGGACCGAAAUCAGAAGGAGCGUAUCCAAGGGCGAUGGCAGUGGCAAGAGGACAUACGUUCAGGGCCGAGCCAUUGUCCAAAAGGACAGAUGGGACUCGGCGGCCUGAACAGCCAACAGAUAUGUAGAGCGGACGAGUGUGGUCCGAGCCCUCCGGUGGCAAGUCAUCAUCGGAAAAGACGAUACAAGUGGCUCUGCCAGCCGUCAUCAUAUGAAGGAGUCCCUCGGGAGUGGUCGUGGUAUCAACUCUGAUCUGGCUCAGAGCUCGAGUCAGUGCGUCCCGAUGGGUACUGGAAGACGCUAAAAGGCUCCAGAUAGAAAUACGAGCCUGAGUGCUCUGCAACUGCCUCAAAAUCUCGUCAUCCUCUGCUCUCACCUCCUCCUGGGAUGACGUACCCCCUAAGGGUCUAGCGGGAGCGGCUGGAGGUGGCUGUCUCACUACUCUCCCUCCCCGGAGGAUAUACUAAACGUCCGGAGUCUGAGGAUCAUCACUAUGUGGAGCCUGAACCUCCUCAACAUCUGGGAUCAGAAUGUACGGCGCCUGAACGCUAUAGCGUGUGAAUGUCAGAGGCUCGGAAGUGGCCGCCUGUACAGAUGCUGCCUCAGGAACUAAUCGGAAUGGAGCAGGCAUCUGUGGCUCUAGAGUCACCCCACUCGUCUCGUAAAUCACAGCUGGCAUGAUAGGCUCUGGGUCUGGAUCAUCCCAACUCAACAUAUGGACAUGAUCAUCAGUCUCAUCGAAGUCCAAGAAAUGAAUACCACAAGCUGGUGGAGGAACUGCAUGUGUGGUGUGGGUCGGCAACGGGUUUGUGGUCACACUCGGCUGACCCAAGUGUACCAAACCCUGGUCUAUCAGAUCCUGAAUAGCGUGCCUCAGAGCGGUGCAUCGAUCGGUCUCAUGUCUAGGCCCCUGAUGAUAAGCACAGUGUAAAUCCAUCCUGAACUGAGCUGGAAUAGGCUGAGGUAGUGGCCGAGGGGUGAGAGCAGUCAAUAAACCAGCCUCCGUAAGCUUCCGAAGAGCCUGGCUCAACGGCAUGCCUAUCUGCGAGAACUGCCUCUGCGUCCUCAAAGUAAACGGAGCAGAAGUCUGCUGGGCUCCAGGUCGGGGAUAAGGCGCCGCAGGUCUCGCGGUGAACUGAGCAGCGUAGCAUGGCUGCCCUGUGGCUGUGUAGGAGACCGCGGGUCUCUCAAUGCCCUGAGUGGCAUAAGAAGGUAAAACCAAUGUCUGUGGCAUGUGUGUCUGAUCGUAAGCCGGACGAGGUGCCCGUGGCCUGUACUGAUGAGAUGCAUAGGAAGAAUGAGGCUCGAAAAACUGUGGGAUCGGCUGAUGGCGUCUAAGAGGCCUCUGACUGGAUGAACUGAUAGCACCAACCUCUGUCGGUCUCGGUCCUACGAAUAGUUUCUUCCCCUUAACAUCACUAGGGGAAGAAUCUGCCCAUAAACCUCUCGUGAUGCCGUCCUCGACAUCAUACAAAGCCAUAACCAGAGACCCAAAAUCUGUGAACGGGACCCCGACCACAUGUCUGGCGAUCCCCGGCUGUAGGCUCCUCAAAACCAUCUGAAUCUAGUCUCUCUCUGAUGGUCUAUCCACUAUCUCAGCUAUCUUCCCGCGCCAGCGGGAAAUGAAAGAAGAAACGGACUCCUCUGUCCUCUGCCUUAGAGCCUCGAGCUCUCUCCUCGAUACAUCUACAACAGUGUUAAACGAAAACUGUCGUAGGAACUCCUGGGCCAAGUCAUCCCAUGUACGGCGUCUCGAGGACUCCAGAGACGCAAACCAGCGCUGAGCUGCCCCACUCAGAGAUAGGGGGAAAAGAGUGAUCAUUUGAGGCUCGUCCAGUCCAUGAGCCCUCAUCACGGUGCUAUAAAGUCUGAGGUGGAGGCGCGGACAACCAAUACCAGUGUACCUCUCAAUAUCUGGCAUCCUGAACUUAGUUGGCAAGCUGGCUACCGGCAUACCCCCAAAAUCAUCCCAAACAACUGAUCCAUCUGACACUCUCAUCUGCCUCAUACACUGCUCGAUGCGGUCCAUGCGGGCAUGCGUGUCAUCAGCGACAACGGCCUGGGCGACUACGGGUGGAGUGAUCUCAGAAUGCCCGUGUAAUACAUAUGGUGAUGCCUGAUGCACUGAAGGAACGAGUGGGGGUGGUGGAGGUGGGUGUGAGUCAUAUGGCGUCUCAUCCUGGACUGCUGGUGGUCUACCCUACUGACCACCGAUCUCCUGCCUGAGGCUAGCCAAAGCCUCCUGGAUAGAAGCCAUGGCAGCCGUGAACUGAUCGACCGUGACAACCUGCUGAUCCAUAUCUGGUGUAUCUGAAACCCGAACUAAUCUGCCCUCUACUCUGAUCCACGAAACUAUACCCAGACUGAGAGUAAAAAUCCUGAUCCUGAAAGUACUCCUCUUCUGCUCUGAUCCACAAAGGUAUAUCAAGACAAGGAACAAAUGUCCUAUCCUACAAAGCACGAAGAACGUAAUAAGGAUAUGGCCCGGGGAACGUAUAGAAGAAAAGAUAAUCUGAACAGGAACAAGCAAAGCAUCCAAGUGAAGAUGAGCGAUCCGACCGUACUCAAACUCGUCCUGAUCUCAGUGCACUCUCAACUGGAGACUAAACAGAGGGAAAAUCGGAUCCAAAACUGCGGCUACAGAGGCACGGAAAGCCCUCAGAUGCACCCACGUGUAGGGAGGGAAUCCUAAUCGAAGGAUCUACGGCUCAACCUACAAGGUCAAGGUGGCUCUAAAUGGAUAAGGGUGGACUUUAAAAUAUCCCUAGCAGAAGCGAUUAUACCCUCCGACGGUACGCAACCCUCUGCACGUCUCCGAAGAGACGGGGCGCUUCCAUGCAAGGUGGUCAUCACCUCCACACAUGCACUACCUCGCAUCCCAGGGGGUUUCCUAUGGUGAAACCUCUCAAACUCUCAACACUCAAUAGUCGACUAGAGUGCACAGUGAAUGGUGUGGGUGCAUCCGAAACCCUAAAAAGCUAAAGCAGGAUAUGAAACACACUGGCCACACAAAUAUCCAUGAAACCUAGCUUCGGGCUAUACAGGUCUUCAAUGAUCGGACUCCAAUCGACAUCAAAGUGUCGCUCUCCUCCAAAAUGCUCCCGUGCAUCGAUAUAGCCCAUCGCUAGACCCUACUCCUAAUCUCCGGCUCGGUCAAAGAGCAAGCACACAGAAGGUCUCACACUUGCAAUAGUGAGAACCGAAAUGAAAGGAAUGACCGAAACCAAGAGAGUUGGAGGUAGGGGGAUAGAAGUGAGACCCACAUAGACAGGCAACAUGCAAUCAUACAGAGGGAGGGCAGUCAUGCAUCAUACGGUCAAGCAGAGUAUAGGAUAUAUCACUCAUGUCCACACAAAAAAAAAAGCUACAACUAUCAGGAUGAAUAGUGAUAUGAACAUCAUGCUCAAAAGAUGAUCUAGAUAAUAUGCAGGUCAGAGAAAACAACACAGCAAGUCAAACGAUGUACAAUAGUGAGUCUAUGCAUGUGAAGUGAGCAGAAUAAUCAGGAAGAAACAGAAUCGCUUUACCAAGCAAAACAAGGUGAGCAACCUAUGAUAAUCGGCAUGUCAAUGUACCAAACUAAUAUAGCAAUGAAGUACAAAAAAAACGACAUCCGAAGCCCCAAAUCAAGAUGAUCAAUCAUAUCAAUGUCACAACAUAAUAUCCAAGCAUACAUAAAAAAAACUCUCAAUGUGCAAUCAAGAGACAGGUACUCGCUGAUCGACUCAUCAAAUGCCCUGUUUGCUUCAUCUUAAGUUCAAGCUUGACCCUCUAACUCAUCCCCAGCGGAGUCGCCAUUUUGUGGACCCCGCAUUUCGGCUCAAUGCGUUCCCCACUCAAUGGUGCAUGCAGUCUGUUGAGGCUUUGCAAUGAUGGAACCUGAGUGCAUUGUUGGGCAGUCAUCCAUCCUUAUGAAAAGUUCUUAGGAGACUCACCCAAUCCUUGAAGUUGGAUCUGUUCCAUCCCCAGAAAGAAGAAUAUCAACAGUGAAUUAUGGGCACUACGUCCCUUUGACUUGGACGUUGGCCGCCAAUGUUUGAUAUGGAGUCGCGUUUGACUCAAAUGUACACUGACGCUACUUUUGGGCAUUGCCAUCAUGCUAUCCGUGACAUUUUAACUCCUGUCCUUCUUGCAUUAUACGAAUCAAGGAGGAAGAGUAAAUCAAAGUAAAACUCAUCAUAUGGGGCAACGUGAUUUUUAUCCUUCCAGGCUGGCAGAGACUCAACAUGAUACAGGGUUCUAAUCAAAGUUUGCUCUCGUCCAAAUACUCAAUCCUGUAAACAUCCAUGGGAUCAGUAAUGGAGAUAAGAGAAGGUCAGGAAUGCAAAUGAAAGAGAAUCAUCAUUGAAGUAUUGGGUUGAAUAAUGGGGUUAUCAUGGGAUCAAGAGGCUUAUGGCUUGGUGACAAUAGUUGACAUGGACAAAUGAGGAGAUAUGAAAGGCCAGAUUUGAGAGAUGAAGUCCACGUUUCUAUCAAGGAUUAUUUUAAUUGAUUCCAUCAAGGGCUCUCACAUGUGAGAUAGAGAUGGCAAUAGUAACAAGCACAACGAUGUCAAUGGCAUGAUUUCUGAGGCUAGUAUCAUAGGCGGCAUCCACCAGGCCAUUUUGAUCCAUAAGAAAGGUAGCAAAGUGCAUCGGGGCUUCCUCUUCGUUUUGGGUGGAAUGGUGAUCUUUGUGUUCCUCAACGACAUCCAUGGAGUGGAGUAGAUUGUUUAUUUGACAGUAGCAAUUGCAAAUGGGUCAUUAAUGGACUUGGUUUUGAUUACCAGGGCUUGAGAGGUUUCUUACCGAAUGAUAUAUCCCAAUCGCGCCAUCUACAUGCAACACGUCAGAAUGAUUCUUCUGUGGAUGGGAGCUAUUCAUGUCCUCUGGUGUUUGAGAAACUGCCAGACGUAAACCAGGAAGGGUCCCAGUGGACAGAUUGUGAAAUUCGAGAGACCAUCAACGUGAUUUAUCAUGUAUAAACUGGAUUCUUACCUAAGUAUCCUUGUUUCCGAACAUCGUAAACCGCGGAAAUUAACUUUGUACUGGAUUCCCUAUACAUGUGGGGCAGCGGGCUCAUCAGUUUGCUCAGUAUGGCUCCUAUGUCAUGGUAGUUUGAUGGGAAGUAAUGACAUAAAAAAUUGGGUUCGUGAAGCUAAGGACUCAACCAUUACCUUCUGGAAUAAUCAUGUAGAGCAAUCGAUUCCGUCCAUUAGAGAUGAAUUCUUUCAGGCAAUCAGGAGCAACACCUAUGAUGCCAUCAGCUGUUCUAACAAGCUCUGCAGCACCACUGAUCCUUAUAGUGCAGUCCCUCCACCCUGAGCUUAGAGGGAAGUGUUUUUGCAUGGCCACCUUGGGCAUGCAGCUCUUGACCAUGUGCCAUUUCCUUCUAUUCUCUCAUCCCCUGUUUUCUUGAAAAUAAUCUUCUUAAAUCCCAUUUUCAAUAAAAUUUGGUUGCCAUUUUCCUUCCGGCAAGCCACUUGUGCAUUUUCUUUGUUUUUAAAAUGUUUUAAAAAUAAGUAAGAAUUAAAUUCCGUAAUUCCAAGUGAUGGAAUUUAUGGAAUUGAUUCAUGCAAAAAUGAAUUGGGUCUUGGUGGGGGCCCUACAUAUGAGAUUCCAUGAUUGAUUGAUUUAUUUGUCAUGCAUGAUUGAUUUACUCUAUUCCUUGAUAUGCGCUUAAUUAUAUAUGUUCAUUGUUCACUAACCAUGUUUCAUGAUAGCGCAUUCGUGAUUGCCGCCCAGGUACGCAUCUAUUCAUAUUUUGCUCAUUCUUUAUACAUGCUUUGUCUCUCAUAUGUGCAUGAUUGAUUCGAGUAUUCAUUGAUUUUCUCAUUGAUUGUCAUGUCAGCUUCAUCUCAUUAGUAGAGACCCGACUUUAGGGACUUAGAGGGGUGCUACGGUCCAUACCGUACCUUCCCAAUAAGUAACCUGACCCCUGAACCCGAUCCGAUUUUUCACAGACCACCUUUUCCAAAAUAAGGAGUCACACUUAGGGUUUUUCUUUCUUAUUUUGUUUACCCUUUAAAAAUAAAACAAAAAUAAGUGGCGACUCCAAGUCAUUUUCAAAUAAUCAAUAAAAAUCAUUUUUCAAAUAAAAAUCGAGCUCGUCAUCGAGUGGGAAACGCAUUGAGCCGAAAUGCGGGGUCCACAAAGUGAUCUUGAAAAUUAUAAGUUAAUUAUGUUUACUUGAAUAAGAGAUUUGAAUAAUCUUGUAAAAAGAUGAUGUUUGUCGUUUAAGUGGAAGGUUGAUUUAGAAAUUAUCAUACAGGGAAAUGGAAAAAAAUACUAUUAUUUUGGUACAAGACCAUAUUAUUCAGUGGUGUCUCUAGAAAGUUCCAUUAGAUGCUAUUAAACAAUUAAUUUGGUGUCUCACUUGCAUAAUUUUGAGUUAUUGGAUUUUGGGUUUUGCAGACUCUAAUCUCCGGAGGUAACGACACAACUGUUGUCUCUCUGACAUGGGCACUCUCUCUUGUACUAAACAACCAUGACACCUUAAAAAAAGCUCAACAAGAAUUAGACAUCCAAGUUGGGAAGGAAAGAUUAGUGAAUGAACAAGAUAUAGGUAAGUUGGUCUAUCUCCAAGCCAUUGUUAAAGAGACAUUACGGUUAUAUCCAUCAGGACCACUUGGAGGACUACGCCAAUUUACCGAGGAUUGCACCUUAGGUGGAUACCAUGUCUCUAAAGGCACCCGUUUAAUAAUGAACCUUUCGAAGAUCCAAAAGGAUCCAAGAAUUUGGUCAAAUCCAACAGAAUUCCAACCAGAGAGGUUUCUCACCACCCAUAAAGAUGUUGAUCCUUGGGGAAAACAUUUUGAAUUUAUACCAUUUGGAGCUAGUCGAAGAGUAUGUCCAGGAAUAACUUUUGGUCUUCAAAUAUUACAUUUAACAUUAGCUAGUUUCUUACAUGCGUUUGAAUUUUCAACUCCAUCAAAUGAAUAGGUCGAUAUGCGCGAGAGCCUUGGACUUACAAACAUGAAAUCUACCCCACUUGAAGUUCUCAUUUCUCCACGCUUAUCUUCUUGUAGUCUUUACAAUUAAAACAUUGAAACGAAUAGGUCAAGUCGGUCUUGCUAGUCUUGGUUUAAAGACAUAUGGAGUUAGGUUCAAUCAAUCUAUGACAAGAUUUGGGAUUGUAUUAAAAGUAGGUUGGACUAAGAAUGAUGUAUAAUAAACUAAAGUACUAUUUAUGUCAAUAAAGUAUAGCUUUAUAUAUUAUUUGGUUAUCCUUGCUCUCCGUCUAGGCUCUCAUGGGUGCAAGGCCUACCCAUGAGGCCCUUUUCUCCAAAUUUGAGUCAAGUGGCUAAGGGGCUUACAACUAGCUUCUUUGCCAUAGACAAAUUUUCUUUUGUUUAUAUGUUUUAAUUGAUGCAUAUUCACUUUCUUCUUUUCUUAAUUAAAUUGCAAUAAUUAAACAUACAAUUUAAAUAAAUUUUAAAUUUUAUUUUUAACUAAAAACAAAAGUAUACAGAUACAAAUAUAUACUGCUUAAGUAAUUAAUUUUUAAAAAUUAUCCUUUGAGAACAUCUCAGACAAACUGAGACAUGCUUCCAGAGAAAUCUAAAUGUAAUGUUUUUAAAAGCUACUUUGUAAUUUUAUUUUCGAGCAUGUUGCAUAAUAUAUACUUUCCUUGAAUUGAUUUUCCAAACUAUAUUUUUAUUAGCAAUAAGGGUUAUCUACGUUUUGGAAAUUAUAAGUUAAUUAUGUUCACUUGAAUAAGAGAUUUGAACAAUCUUGUAAAAAGAUGAUAUAUAUAUAUAUAUAUAUAUAUAUAUAUAUAUAUAUAUAUAUAUAUAUAUAUAUAUAUAUAUAUAUAUAUAUAUAUAUAUAUCGUAUGGCUGAUUUGGAAAUUAUCCAAAAUGGAAAAAAAUACUAUUAUUUUGGUACAAGACCAUAUUGUUCAAUAGUGUCUCUAGAGAGUUCCAUUAGAUGCUAUCAAACAAAUAAUUUGGUGUCUCACUUGCAUAAUUUUGAAUUGUUCGAUUUUGGGUUUUGCAGGCUCUAAUUGUCGGAGGUAACAAUACAACUGUUGUCUCUUUAACAUGGGCACUCUCUCUUUUACUAAACGUACAACCACGACAUCUUAAAAAAGGCUCAAGAAGAAUUAGAUAUCCAAGUUAGCAGGGAAAGAUUAAUGAAUGAACAAGAUAUAAGUAAGUUGGUCUAUUUUCAAGCCAUUGUUAAAGAGACAUUACGGUUAUAUCCACCAAGACUACUUGGUGGACUAUGCCAAUUUACUAAGGAUUGCACCUUGGGUGGAUACCAUGUCUCUAAAGGCACCCGUUUAAUAAUGAACCUUUCAAAGAUCUAAAAGGAUCCAAGAAUUUGGUCAGAUCCAAUAGAAUUCCAACCAGAGAGGUUUCUCAUCACCCAUAAGAAUGUUGAUGAUUGGGGAAAACAUUUUGAAUUUAUUUCAUUUGGAGCUGGUCGAAGAGCAUGUUUAGGAAUUGCUUUUGGUCUUCAAAUAUUAUAUUUAACAUUAGCUAGUUUCUUACAUGCAUUUGACUUUUCAACUCCAUCAAAUGAACAUGUUGACAUGCAAGAGGCCUUAGACUUACAAAUAUGAAAUCUACCUCACUUGAAGUUCUCAUUUCUCCGGACUUAUUUUCUUGUAGUCUUUACAACUAAAACAUUGAAAUGAAGAGGUCAAAGUCGACCUAGCUAGUCUUGGUUUAAAGACAUAUAGAGUUAGAUUCAAUCAAUCUAUGAUAAGAUUUGGGACUGUAUUAAACAUAGGUUGGACUAAAAAUGAUGUACAAUAAACUAAUUAAAGUAUUGUCCAUGCCAAUAAAGUAUAACAUUAUAUAUUAUUUGGUUAGCCUUAAGGAAUGUAGCAUCAUAAUUAUUUCUUUGUUUUGUCUAAUUUAUCACCAUUUUUUCCCCUUCUCUUCUUCCCUUCUCUUCAUUAGAACAAAUAAUAUAUAGUCUUUUUAUUUUUAAAAAUCAAAUUCGAUUCCCAGUUAUAUAAGAAUUUUACUUUUACUUUAUAAUAAACUUUACUUUAAUCUUAAUAACUUUGACCAUGAUCUCCAUCAUUGAUUAAAUAUAGGGAUAAUUUCAAUCAUUUUUUCUAAGAUUGGAGUUAAAUUUACCCAUCCAUUAUUAAUUUGAAAUUUUAUUAAAUAUUUUUUUUUUCCUUUUUUUUUACAUGUAUAUCUUUUAAUUUAAAAUAAUAGUUGUCCGAUAUAUUUAUAUGAAAUUAUUUUCGAAGAGGUGAAUGAAACUAAACUUUUUUUUAAAUAUAAAAUCAUAAAAAUUUAAUAUACGCCAGCACGAUCCGGUCUAAAUAUUAUAUAUAAUUUGUGUCAUUUCAAAAAAUCAUAGAAGAUCCUUUUGGCAAGGUGGCCCCUUUGAGUAGGAAUUCUCUAAUUGGUCACUACAUAUUACAUAAUUUCAAAGAUUAUGGAGGAUCAUUUACCAAUCAUUAUCAGAAGAAGUGCUGAUUCCUGUAUAAAACUAACCAAUACGAUAUUUAGCACAUGCAAACAGAUUUGGAAGGAUCUGAAAGUCAAGCCUACGGGCCAUCCCUUUACGGCUUGUUCGAAAAAGCACAAAUUGAUGGGGUGCCACUUGCCAGCAGUCUGUUUCAAUAUCUAAAUGUUACCCAGUGGGAUUGCUUGAUAUACUUUUUGUCUCCUAGCUACCAUCUAUUAUUAUGGAGCUCCAGAGCUGGUAAGAUAAGAAUACACCCAAAAGCUGCUGGUGCAUGGCCAAUAAUCGGUCACCUCCUCUUAGGGUCACAACUUCCUGGGAUUUUUUUUUAUAAAAUUACGGUAAAUUUAAAAUUAAUUUUUUAAAAUGCGGCAUAUUGAAAAUAUGCUUGAAUAAUAAUAAUAAAAUGACAAAUAAUAAAAAGGAAAGAAAGUUGUCUUGUGGCUAUAAGAAAGAAUAAUAUAAAAGAGAGAGAUGAGGAGAGGCGGAUAGAGAGAAGAGUAGGCCGAAAAAAAAAAAAAAAAAGAGGAGAACGGGGAGGUGCUGCAAAUCUUUGGGCGUUCGAUCGUAUGACGAGCAAAACGACUUAUGUUUUGCAUGAAAGUUAAGGAGAAAAUUUUCUUUGAGGCGAGGAACAUUCCUUCAAAGUUCGAUUUUAGUUUCAAUGAUUGGAUUUUUUUAUUUGUGGUAAGAUAGUUUAAUCCUACAACUUUUGUUUAAUAUUUUGUUCUUGAAAAAAUAUUAUGAAUUUUUUUAGUGGAAGAUAAAUAUGUGUUAUUUGUGUUUUCUUUAUGUUAUUUGAAGUAUGAUUAUUCUUAAGGUUAUUAUUAUUAUUAUUGUUUUAUGAUUUACAUAUUAUUAUGAUUUUAUUUUUAAAAUUUUUAUGUUUGCAAUGAUUUAAUUGAAGAAAAACUGUUGUGUUGAUUGUUGAAAAUUAUUUAGUAUGUUGGGAAUAAAUAAAAUUUAUAUGAUUAGGGUUGAGACUAUGUUUUGAUGAUAUGUAAAUUAUUGUGAAUAUAUAUAUAUUUUAUAUUUGUAGUGAUUUAAUUGAAGAAAAAUUGUUGUGUUGUAAUUGGAAUUAUUGAUCAUGUUUGGAGUAAAUAAAAAUUAUGUCCUAGAAAAUUAUGCAUAAUAACAUGCAAGUUUAUUAUAUUUCAUAUGCAUCAUGGUUAUGUGAAAAAAAAAAUUGAUGAAAGAUUUUAUAAAAUGAAAAAGGAAAAAGAAAAUAAUGAUGAAAAGUAAAAACCUGUGAAAGAUAAAUCAAGAAGGAAAUGAGAUUUCUAGUGUAAAAAAUACAAAAAUUUAUCCCGUGAGUGUAUUUGAUAUAGAUGCAUAUCAUUAAGUGAAAACCCAAAAACAAUAGUUGAAUGUAAGCAUUUGCACCAUGUUUUCAUUUGGAAGAAGGACAUGUAUUAAAUACUUGAAUGACAUCAAUGGUAUGUUUAAAUAUAUUAUUAGAGAUUGAAAUAAUUUAUUUAUUUUGUAAGUUUAGAAUUAUUGGAUAAACCGCUAUUGACGAUUGGACCGAUGAAUGGGGCGGUUUUUCAUGAACUGCAUGGCUAAAUUCCAGCUCCAGUCUUCCUCCCAUUUUUCCUUUCAUCCAAAUAGUCCAACCUCCCCCUCCUCUUUUUCAUAGGGUCCAAGUGAAAGCCCAAUAAGCCCAGCCUUACAUUUUAAUGGCUUUUUGGCAAAACCUAAACCCAUUUAAACCCAUGGGUGGUACCUUUUUGGCAUGUACUAAUUUGAGUUAUAUGAAUUUUUGUAAUUUAAAUUAUAAUUUGUUAUUUUGUAAAAUAUUUUUUACUUAGAUUUAUGUAGAUAUUUGGGUUAAUUUGGGAUUAUAUAUUGAUCUAUUCAACUGAAAUCAUUGACCGUCAAAUUGGAUAGGAAUAACAUUUAAGGUCAACCCUUUGACCUGAUAUCACUAAUCGGAUUCUGAGUUGCCUUGAAUAGGGUGUGACUAUAAUGGAUUUUCUUCUCCAAUGCCUAAACCCUGUCAUGGUUGGAGCGUUUGCAAUACUCGUCCUCUCAUACCACCUGUUAUUAUGGAGGACUGGAGCUGGUAAGAGCAGAAUGGCACCUGAAGCUUCUGGUGCAUGGCCCAUAAUAGGUCACCUGCACCUGUUAGGUGGAUCUAAGAAUUUGCCUCACUUACUUUUUGGAACCAUGGCCGACAAGUAUGGACCAGUAUUCAGCAUCCGGCUGGGAUUAAAAAGAGCUGUGGUGGUGAAUAGUUGGGAGAUGGCCAAGGAAUGCUUCACCACCCAUGACCUGGCUCUGGCCUCCCGUCCUGAGGUUGAGGCCGCCAAAUAUUUGGGAUAUAACUAUGCCAUGUUUGCUUUCUCUCCUCACGGUGCAUACUGGCGUGAAGUGCGUAAGAUAGCUACUCUAGAGCUACUCUCGAAUCGCCGGCUAGAAUUGCUGAAGAAUGUCCGAAUCUCAGAGGUGGAGACAUGCAUGAAGGAACUAUACAAGCUUUGGGCAGAGAAGAAAAACGAAGCGGGCGUUGUUUUGGUGGACAUGAAGGAAUGGUUUGGGCACUUGACUCUGAACGUGAUUCUUAUGAUGGUUGCUGGAAAACGAUAUUUCGGUUAUACAGGCGAAAGUAAAGAGAAAGAGGCCCAGCAGUGCCGGAAAGCGAUUAGGGAAUUCUUUCGUUUGUGGGGACUCUUUGUGGUGUCAGAUGCCAUUCCUUUUUUUGGAUGGCUUGACGUGGGUGGACAUCUGAAAGCCAUGAAGAAGACUGCAAAAGAACUGGACGGUAUUGCUCAGGAAUGGUUAGAGGAACACCGGCAGCGAAAAGAUUCUGGUGAAGCUGAUGGUAACCAGGACUUCAUGGACGUGACGCUGUCCAUUCUGGGUGGUAGAGACAUUACUGAUUAUGAUGCUGAUACCAUCAACAAAGCUACAGCCCUGGUAUGCACAUUAUUCCUUUAGCAUCUUUAUAUGGUAGUAAAAAAUGAGACAUAAUUUCAUGCUUUAUCAUCUUUAGUCCAGACUCAAGAGUACUUGGGCCUGGGUUGGAAGAACUUAUUUUUGCUUUGUUUCAAGUCGAAACUAAUCAAAAGCAGCGAUUUUUAAAAGGUAAUUAUAAUAAUGGUAUUAUAAAAGUUCAAACAUAAAAUAACUUUUUGCAUAAAUCAAAAUAGAAUUUUUAUAUAUACAUAUAAAAUGUUUUUCUGAUCUUCAUAUUAAUUUUUUUAAGUCAUAACUUUUUUGAACAAAAUUAGUCAAACCAUAGAACUCUUGAACUUACAAAAAAGGGCUUUCGAUUUCUUAGAAGUAGAUACAUGUAGAUUAUGAAAGUAUGUUCCUUAGUCCGCAUGGUUUGAGGCCUCUUUGAGUGGGCUUCUAGAGUCGGUUAGACAAUUGGGCCUUUCAAAGGAUUUCCUAAAUUUACAUUUUUUUUAGCCCAACUUGAAUUUUUAUAAAAUGCUAUAUUUAUACGCGAGUUUCAUAUUCAAGCUAAACAUACCCAUUUUGAUUGGAAAAAAAAGGAAAGAAAAUGGGGCCUUUUUUCCACCCUUAAUCCUAUCACUACUUUUAAUUUUAUUUUAUUAGUUAAUGGUUUGUAUUUCACAGAUUCUGAUUGGAGGAGGCACUGACACUACAUCUGCUACUUUAACAUGGGUCAUCUCACUUUUAUUAAACAAUCCAGAUGUAUUAAGAAAAGCCCAAGAAGAAUUGGAUGCUCAUGUUGGUAAAGAAAGACUAGUAAAUGAAAUGGAUAUAAGCAAGUUGGUCUACCUUCAAGCAAUUGUUAAAGAGACAUUGAGGAUAAAUCCAACAGCUCCACUUUCAGGACCGCGUCAAUUCAUCCAAGAUUCUAUUUUAGGGGGUUACCAUAUCUCAAAAGGCACUCGUCUUAUAUUGAACCUUACCAAGAUCCAAAGAGACCCAAGAGUAUGGUUGAAUCCAAUGGAGUUCCAACCAGAUAGAUUCCUCACCACCCAUAAAGAUGUUGAUGUUAGAGGUAAACAAUUUGAGUUGACACCAUUUGGAGGUGGAAGAAGAAUUUGCCCUGG